UGGCAUUCGCAAACGCAACAUUGAGCGCGUCCAAACGGUGCUUGAGCACGUCGGGGAAGCGGAGUAUUAGCGGGAACUGGAGAUUCUUCGUAGUUAUCGCUUUCUUCACCGCGGCGAGGAGGUCAAUCUCCUGCGUGGGGUUGGUCUCGACGCCGUGAAUCUUAACGGAGACGUUGCCGCUAGAGUUAACGGCGAAGUAAGGGUCGCCCCAUCCCGCAAUAUUGUAGAGGUAACCAUAGUUGGUCGACAUUAUUAAAUGCCUCUCCUCCCUACACAAAUUAAGAGUUCGCUAAUAAAAUCUGGGGUUUAGUUUCGUGGUGAGUAGGGCAUGAAAAGGGUGCGCGAUGGGGGGUUUAUAUAGGCGGUCGAAGGACACCAACUGGCGAGCUAAUUUUUCUUGCUUUUAUUAAUUGUCGACGGUCGAGAUCUCUCUCUCUGUGUAUUUGUAACAGGUUGAACGGAUGGUAUGCUUUUUGGGCUGUGUUGUGGGGCCCGCUUCAAUUACAAUCAAGUUGCCGCGCAAUAGUGGCGGGAGAAAAGGACAGCUGUACAAUGGUGUUUACUAGUUUUUCUUUUCUUUUUUUUUUUUCGGUUUUUUGUAAAAGAAUAAAAUUAUAUUCAUUGAAUUUGCUACGAUUAUCUUAGUGUUGCUCAGAAAAAAUUUUGAUUGUAACGGAUCAAUCACGUAAAAUAUACUUUAAAUCAACUAUAUUAUAGUGUAUAAAAAAUAAAAUUUUAAAAAAUAUUUGCUCUUAUAUUUUUAUACAAUAUUCAAUUAUUCGAAUCAAUGCUGUUAUUUUAGUAUACAAUAAUUAAAACAGAAAAGAUAUCCCAUGGUCUCACAAUAGUUCUCAGAUUCGACUCGUGUUACAAAGAGAGUUACUAUAUUAUGUGAUAUUUUAAAAAUUAAUAAUAUUUUAUUAAUUUAGUUAAAUUAACUCAAGAAUGUUGACUAAUAUUACGAGAGAAUAAAGAUCUUCCUACUAUCAAUUACGUACUACCAUUAAAUUACAAAGCAUCAAUUACAACUUCAAAUCAAAAAAUAACUUUUUGGUACAAAAAAUUAAUUUAGAAUAAUUUAAUUUGUUGGCCGGGAAUGAAAGACCGAUUAAAUUUUUUUUGGAGAGAUAAGUAGCACGUUGCCUGCUUCGUUUAUUUUAUUCAGAAAUAAACUUAGCUGGAAAUAUCAAUCAGCUAGGAUUCGAACUUGAGUCUCAGGUACCAACCACUAAACUCUUUGCCACUUGCUCCAGAAACGGCCGGUAAAGACCAAUUAAUUGAAUGGAGGUUAUCUAGUUUUUCUACUAAUUAUAAUUACAAGUUUAUAACUCAUGUGGUUAUUUUUCUAUUAAAAUUUUUCUCAUUUUGGACUGUGGUGAUGAACAGCUAGCUUGUCUUUUGAGAGUUGAUUUUUUGUUUUUUUCUGUUUUUUUCCCCUCUCAACAAACAUAAAUCUCACUUUCUUUAUUAAUUAGUCUCUAAAUAAUUCUGAGUGCACAAGAGUACGUUGUCGUACCCACUAUGAUAUUUCAUUUUGCAAAUCAUUUUCCAAUCAUAAUAUACAUGGUAGCAAAGCUAGUCCAAGUAUUCAAUUUUGUGAGAAAACAGUAAUUAAGUUUCUUUAAUUGGGUUGACUUUGUGAGAAAACAGUAAUUAAGUUUCUUUAAUUGGGUUGAAAGGUGCAAGAACAACUGUGCAUUCAAGCAUAUAAUCGUAUGACAAUGAUGCUUAUCCGUGCAAUUUAUUUCUUUGUUCCCCCAACGUGGGUAGCCCCUCAUUUGAGUUAUGAUGAAUAAGAUCUUGUCUAGAUAUCAAAAUACGGAAUUCAAUAAUAAUUUAUCCCAUAUAAAAAUGUAUUAGUAUAAUUGUAAGUAAGCUGCUUCUUCAAAGGUCAUGCCUACGUACUUGGUAUGAUAACGUAUUUUACUUACGAGAUAAUUUAUCUAUCUUAUCCAAAAAAUGACUUGAUGGUUGAAUAUAACAUUUAAUUCUAAAUAUUUAGUCAUACUUCUUAUCAAUUAAACUUGCAAAUUUCUUGAAUAAAAUAAAAGAAUAUACUGAACUUGAUGGGUGGGGUUUUGAUUUUUUUUUCUUUUUUUUUUUUUAUUCAGGUUUGUUUCGUGUUUUUAGCUGUUAUACUGAUUCGGGUUCAGGUGUGGUUUCAGAUUUUAAUUUUUUAUUCGAAUUUGGUUUAGGGCUUUGCAAAUUUUUAAGUAUUAAAAUGUGUAUUUGAUAGGUCAUAGAAAGAUAAGAAUAGCAUUUAUCAUAUGUUUUGUAUCAUGCACCCAUUUUGUGAGAUUUUGACGGAAUGUUAUCGAAAGGAUAUUCGUGAGAAUUUCUUGAGUUUAAAAAGGCAUUUAUGAUAUUUUUUAAGUUUAGAAAACUAUUGAUGAAACUUUAAUCUCCUACAAAUUUAUUGUGAUAUUUUGCCUAUGUAUAUUAGGGCACCUAUAAUAUUUUAUUUUAUUUUUUUACAAAUUACAAUCUUUUAAGAGGGCAUUAAAUAAAUUGAUUUUUUUUCUUUAGGAGGCCAUUUUCCUUUGUAGGGCCAAAACGUGUUCCACACAAAGANCGACCCGCGCCGUCGCCGCCAUCCGCUCCGGCGGCCGGAAGAGGAAAAGAAAGAAAAGGGGAAGAGGAAAACUUUUGGAGGGAUAUAUUUGUGAGGGUAAAAUGGUCAUUUCACGACUUCGCUAUUAAAAAACAAACAGCUCACUAACGGAUGUUAACUGCAGGGACAUAUCUGCAUAACUUGGGACUUUUGCAGGGACAACUUAUGGAGUUUCGAUUUUGCAGGGAUAUAUCCGCAAUUGGCUAUGUUUGCAGGGAGCUGUAUGCAUUUGACCCUUAAUAUUAAUACACAAUAUUCACCGAAACUGGACUUUGGGUUGAACUGGAGUUCAGUGAAAACGACUUCUUCCCCACUGUUUGUUUCGAGUUCGGUGAAAACGACUUCUUUCCCGCUGUUUGUUUCGAGUUCGGUGAAAACUACUUCUUCUCCGCUGUUUGUUUUGUAGUUAUAAAAGUGAAGUUUCAUCAGUUCUGCUGUUUGUUUGAUAGAAAGUGUAUAGUAUAAAACUAUAAUUUAUAUAUAAAUAAUAAAUAUUUUAAUAAAUAAAAAUAAUAUAAUUAUAUUUUUAUAUAAUUAAAAUUUAAUUUAAAACAACUAAAUUAUUUUUUUAUACAUAAAUUAUACUAAUACAAUAAUAAAAUUAUAAAGUAAAAAAAUAUUAAUACUUAAUUAAUUAAUUUUUAUCAUAUUUUAAAGGGUCAAAUGCAUACAGCUCCCUGCAAACAUAGCCAAUUGCGGAUAUAUCACUGCAAAAUCGAAACUCCAUAAGUUGUCCCUGCAAAAGUCCCAAGUUAUGCAGAUAUGUCCCUGCAGUUACCAUCUGUUAGUGAGCUGUUUGUUUUUUAACAGCGAAGUCGUGAAAUGACCAUUUUACCCUCACAAAUAUAUCCCUCCAAAAGUUUUCCUCUUCCCUUUCUCUUUCUUUUCCUUUUCGGACCGUCGAAGCAGACGACGGCGGCGGCGGCGCGGGGUCAGGUUCGCCGGCGACGAAGAAAAUGCAAGAACGCCGAGCACCGGAGCUCUACUCGGAGCUCGUCGCCCUCAACGCCGUCCCCUCCCUCGUCGGCCUCCUCGACCACGACAUCGCCGACAUCGCCGGCGACGUCGUCUCCCUCCUCACCGACCUCACCGACGCCGACAUCCUCGGUGACCACGACAACCCCGCACACGCCCUCGUCGCCAACAACGCCCUCGAGCUUCUCGUCUAGAAACUCGCCCGCCUUUCCUCCGAGACCGACCCCGACGAGAUUCUUCUCCCUCGCCGGUGACGAAGAAGAGGGAAGAGGAAGAAGGAAGAAGGAAGAAGGAAGAAGAAAGAAGGGAGAAAAAGGGAGAAGAGGAAGAGGGAAGAGGAAAAGGAAGAGGGUUCGCCACCGUCGUCGCCAUAUCUCCUCGCCGACGACGAAGUAGAAGGAAGAGGAAGAGGAGGAAGAGGAAGAAGGGUAAAUACGUCAAUUCACACUAUAAUUAACCAUGGUUAAGUAUUUUAAUCAUGGUUAACGAAAAUUUUCAAACAGAUCUGGACGGUAGGGACAUAUCUGCAUAACUUAGGACUUUUGUAGGGAUAACUUAUGGAGUUUCUAAUUUGCAGAGAUAUAUCCGCAAUUUACUAUGUUUGGAGGGACGUGUAUGCAAAUAACCCUAUUUUAAAUGUACAAACUAAAUAAAAAAAUAUUAAAACUUAACUAAUCAAUUUUUAUCAUAUUUUAGCUAUAUUAACUGAAUAAAAAAAUAAUUAGUAACAUAAUUAAAUAUAUUUAAAUAUAACUAGCUUUAUCUAUUAUAUUAUUUUAUUAUUUUUUUCACCUCUCUUUACCGUAAUUGACUUCGGCCUACGAUGGGACGAAGUCAAUUACGCCAUUUGAGGUUAACUCGAGUUUCGACAGUAACUUUUUUACGGCAAACCAAACAACGAAAGUGGUUGUUUAGGGCGAAAACAACUUCCCUUCUAUCCACUUCCACCCAAAUAAACAUUAAAUUAAUGUCUUCGUACACGUGUACCAAUAAUAUUUUAUAAUUCUAAAAAACAUUUGUAAAAUUACAACUUUUAAGAAUGCAUUAAAAGUAUCAAUUUUUUCUUUUUGGUGGUCAUAAUCCAUCAUAGGUUCAAAACGUGUUACACAUUAAGCCGAUUGGAAGAGAGCACGAAUCGAUAGUAGGGACAGGGCUUUAAUACGCCUCGCUUAGGGAGUUUUCAAUAUGUUGUCAGCUAUUAAUUUUAUUUCCGUCCAAUAAUUAGUUAGAUAUUUUUUAAAAAAUAUAGAAAAAAUUAAAUUCUAGAUAAAUGGAUUAUAAGCUUUGAAUAUAAUGUACACUAGUGAAGAGGUCCGCGCUUCGCAGCGGAUAGAAACUGUAAUAGUAAUUAAUAAUAAUAAAAUAUUAAAUAUUUUUUUUUGUAUCUCACUUGUUACAUCUAUCAAAAGUCUCUUACUAUAGGUAGCAAAUAUAUAUGAACCCAACGAUGGAGAAAGAGAGAGAGUAAAAUGGCUUAUUUUAAAUAAAAAUUAAAUGGGAGAAAUGAAGAGACGUAUGUUGAGAGAGAGAGAAUAAAAUGGGGGAGAUGAGGAGACGUAUGUUGAGAGAGAGAGAGUAAAAUGGCUCAUUCUAAAUAAAAAUUGAAUAGGAGAGAUGAAGAGAGAUAUGCUAAGAGAGAGAGUAAAAUGGCUUAUUCUAAAUAAAAAUUAAAUGGGGGAGAUAAAAGACGUAUAUUGAGAGGAGAGAAUAAAAUGGCUCAUUCUAAAUAAAAAAAAAAAAAUUCAAAUUAGGAGGUUAUGACAAAUCAGCUUAAAGCAUUGGGGAUUUAUAAAUUAGGAUUUCUUAACGCGACAUUAUUGGAGGGCUCUGCAUUGAAUUUUUUUCUCCAUAUGUCUGUUCAAAAUGUGUUACACAAUAUGUUGGAAAAGAGUAUGAAAAUUUUGGCACUUAGCGCACAUCAAUACAUCAUAUCUAAAACGACCGCAUGAGGUGGGGACGAGAAGUAAACACAACCUAAAAUGGUCCAAGGGUUUAGGAACGGGAAUUAAACACCCCCCUAUGGAAGAAUAUUUGCCACGAGGCGUCACCUUAGACCAACCAUUAUUAAUUAUUUUUUUAGGAAAAAAAUACACAUUUAUCAACGAGCAAGUUCCUAAUUAGACAACUAUGCUAGAUAUGAUCCGUGACUAUUGUAAUUAAGAUAUGCUAAGUCUACAAUAAAAAAUUAGUAAUAAUUUUUAGUACUCUUGAUGUAAUAAUUAUUUACAUUAGCAUAAGAAGAAAAAUAAUUUAAAAAGUACGAAGCCAAAAGAAUAUUAUUAAUUAGAGGAUUAGCUUUAAAAUGACUUAUGAUUGAAGAGUUCCUUUUCACUUUUCCACCUAAAUUAUUAUUCAGCACUUAAUUAUUAUUCAAUGUGAAGUUUGUUCGAAGUAUUUAAGGGCGUGUUUGGCCUAUAGCUUUUAGAAAACGGUAUUAGAGUCAAAAAUUAUUUUUCUUUCAAUAGAGCAUUUGGUAAACUUUUUCAUAAUCUGAUUCUCUUAUUUUUAUGAUUAGAUUUUUGAUAUUAGCAUCUCCAAAAUCAGAAGUAUAACCACGUCACGCCCUGCACCAAUUUCUUCAGCAUGCUUUAUUUUGUUCCAUAUUUUUAUGGAUCUUGUAUUAAAAAAAAAAAUUUUAAAUUUAAUGGACAAGGAAGAUUAAUGCAGAGAUUAAGACACAGGAUUGAAAGGGAACGGGGCACCAGCCUAGUGCACCUCACAUAGGCAAUAAAUGACUUCAAAAAUUUGCGAUUGCUUAAUUUUACAUAAUAAUUUUCUGAAUGCCUUUUUACUAAAUUAUAAUUUUAUCAAUUUUUUUUUUUUAAUACCACCAGUGUCUUUAUAAAUAUCAAAAUUAUUUUCAAACAUUCCUAAUAGAAAAGCUCGAUUUAACUUAGAUGAAUUGUUUCUAAAAUUUAUUUUUACCUCCCGAUGAGCUAAAAACUUAGUAAACUCAUUAUUAGAUGAGUAAUUUCCAUAAAGUACGUAGUACGCUUUUCUAAAAUAUUUAAUAAAAUAAAAAUGAUAGAUCGUACACUUAAUAAGGAAUAAAAAAAAUUAUGCUAUAAUAAGUUAUAAAAUAAGAGAAUAAAUCCUAAACAAAAAUAUUAAAAAAUGAAUUUGUAUUAAAAAAUAAAAUAAGAGAGGUACACAUGUACUUAUUGUAGAUUUUGAAAAGGUGCUUAAUUAUCAAAUUUCAAAAUAUUGGAAGGAUAGAUUUGAAAUUGCCCUAAUUUUACAAAACCAAUGACCUUAUUACCAGCAAAAGUUUGAACUGCCGACUUUACCAUUUUUGAAUUAACAGAUGAAUGUGCUUCUUCCUUUUUUUAAAAGCAAGGAUGGAACCAAAUCGCACAACUUUUAACAAAAAGUAAUUCUCUAAAUCGGAACCACCUCAACAAAAAUUAUUUCUAAAAAGCUAGACCAAACAGACACAAAAUGCCGUAUAUGAUGCACGAUUACGUUGUCGGUUCUUUGAAAAGGAAUGCUCCAAAUCAGUAUGGCAUUCAAUAAAUUCCAUAGACAACAGUGGUCUCAUUGCAACAGUGAAUUAAUGGUGGUACAGCCAAAAUAAAACGUGGCCUAAUGGGAUAUAUUGUAGGCCCCCGACAACUGCAACACUUUUCUUUCAACAAAAAAAAAAAGAGAAGAAAAUAGCGAACUGCAAAUGAACUAAGUUCAAGGGAGAAGUAAGGCCUCUGGAUCUAAACAAAAUAAAACUUGGCAUGCAUUUUGGUUUUUUAAGACAAAAAAAAUGCCAUAUCUAUUUUCAUUUUUCAGGAAAUAUUUAGAAGUAUAUAUUCUUAUUUUUCGUAGUUAUGAGAUAAAAAAUAUCCGUAUUGUUACUUUUGAAAACAUCAUUUUUAACAGAAUUUAUCAUACUGUCUUAAUUAAACCCUUUCUCAUUUCACAUGACAUAAUGCAUUAAUUACCUCGAAAUAUAUCCUAUAUGGUUAACUGUUACAGUGAAAAAAAUUUCACAGUUAAUGGACUCAGUAGAAGUCGUCAGAUUGUAACUUGAUUGUAUCAAGUGCUUUAAAGUUCGCAUAAAAUUUCGAAUAAAUAUUUAUAUAUAAAUUGUCUCAUGGGUGAUAGGACAUGGCCAGGUAAUUCCUUUUCCCCAUUAUAUCAGAUAAAUUGGCAAACCAAAUUUGUAGACGAGAAUUAUUCUCAUCAUCAUCGAUAUUGUUGGGUUAGUAAUAUCAAAUUCACUUAUUUGCCUAAUUGAUUUUAUUUUGGAUUUGAUUCAACAACUCAUGUAAUAAUUGGUUUGGGCUUCAGUUGACCCAUUUGGUAUGUUGGGCCAAGUGAUGUUAAAAGAGAUUCUCUUUGGGUUUAAAAAGAGAGAGUUCUCAUUUAUUUUGCUCUCUAGGUUUUUCUUUUCAUUUCUUGAGAUAGAGAAGAGAGGUGUAGAGAGGGUUGGAGAAAGAGCUCUCUUGUUCUUCUUGCUUGAUUCAAAAACUUUCAAGUUUGAUUGAAGGAAUUCUAAGAGACAUUUCGAAGCGGGUUUCGUAGAUUCGGAAGGUGCUUAGAUGAAGGUGUAGCAACAAAGGAUUUUUCCAAUUAGAAGGUUGCAAGCUUAUUGUAAUAGAGUGGUAAUCUCUAAUCAAAUCUUGUAAUCUCCUCAUUUGAUAGUGGAUUUGAUCUCUCCGUACCUGUGGAUGUAGUUCGGUUUGGGUGAACCACGUAAAUCUUGUGUUGUUGUUGUGGUUGUGCUUGGAUUUUUCUUUUUCAACUUUAUUUAUUCUAAUCUUGCAUAUCUUGGUUGUGGAUAAUUUAGAUAUAUCACAUUUGUUUACUAGUGUGAUUAGUAUUUUGAUAGUGAGGGUUCCGUUAUUAGCUCACUACACAUAUGAAGCUUACAUAACAACCAUCAACGUUAACGAGCCUCUCAUCUUCCUUAUUCUUAAACAUAUAUAUCAAAAACUCUUGCUUGGACACAAGAAUUAAGUCGGCCUAAGAUGACAAGGCCAUUUUAUUUGAAAUCGGGCCUAACAUAACAGGGCCAGUUUAACAUUUAUUGCAGAUUACAUGCGUAACGUCGGUCGACCUACGUACGCGGCUACGCUUCACCAAAGAGGUAAGGCAUGGUGUAGAACACGCUUUUCACGAUCUUCUGCUCCGUCGGGGUCCAGUGCCCGGCCGCUUCCGCCCGCUUCGCGAUCGCCUGCAUCAUCUCAUCGGGGUCGUGAUGCAUCACUUUCAGCUGAUCCGCUGCAGUGGGCCCGGCCCCCACCACCACCACCCUAAAUCCGCCAAAUCCACCGGCACUCUCCACCCGAACCAAAUUUGGCCCACCAAACAAAUUGUGCUUGCUCCCCAGCGCCUCCUGGUACGCUCCCGCCAGGAACGUGCCGAUAUAGUACCCGCCGCCGUUUUGUUCUAAGGCGUGGAGGGGUAGAGUUUGGGCCCCCCCGAUGAACUUGUCGAUCUUGCCGUCGCUGUCGCAGGUGAGGUCGAUGAGCGUGCCCUUCUGCUUCGGCUCCUCAUUCAGCCGGUGUAUCGGCAGGAUCGGGAACAGCUGCUUGAUCCCCCAGAAGUCCGGCGUGAGCGAGAAGACCGACAGGUUCGCGUGGUAUGCGUAGGUUGAAUCUCCGGCCGCCUCCAACUGCUUCGCCAGACGCCUGCUGAGCUUGAAGAUCUCGAUCCCGUGCUUGUUCAGCUGGUCUGCGUGUGCUAAGGAAGCAUUAUUGUUGCCGUCCUCUGACUGGACGGCGGAUUUGAUGUUAGCAUGAAGCGUCGUCGGGUUUCCAACGAGCUCGUCGAGGCGGCUGAUUAAUUCAUCGGAUGUGACCGAGUCACUGGGUUCCUCCACGGCCACCAGCGCAUCAUAGAUCAGGAUCGAGUGGUGGGACACGAGGGCACGACCGCUCUCGCUGCAGAGAACCGGAUGCGCCACACCAUUCUGGUUGCACACGAGCUUCGCCGCCUGCACCACCGCUGACGCAUAUUCUUCCAAGCCGUACGCCACCGACAUGUCCGAGGACCCCGAUCGUGUCCCGUCAUAGUCGAUCCCGAGGCCCCCGCCGAUGUCGAGGGUGCCCAUCGGUGCCCCCAUCUUCACCAGGUGGCAGUAGUACCUGUUCAAUAUAAAAAUAUUAAAGUACUGCCAUAUAAUAGUUUAAGCUUUUGGAUAAGAACAUCUAUUUCAUGAUACCCGGUAGCCUCGCGCACUGCACUGCUGAUGAUGGAUGUGGUCGGGAUUUGCGACCCGAUGUGGAAGUGGAGUAGCUUGAGGCAAUCGAGCAUGCCGAGUUGUUUUAGCUUCUCUGCAACGGCAUAGAUUUGGGCCUCCAAGAGCCCGAAUUUGCCGUGCUUGCCCGAGGUGGACCCGAAGUGGCCCGGGUUGGUGGUAAGCAGCCUCGCACGGAUGCCGAGAAUGGGGCGCACGCCGAGCUCUCGGCUCGCCCUCACCACCGUGUCGACCUCCUCCUCCAACUCGAGCACGAUGAUUGUGUUGAAGUUGAUAGAGCGCGCCACGAGGGCGAGGGAGACGUAGUCCAUGUCCUUGUAGCCAUUGCACACCAGGUACGCCUUCGGGCUUCCGUUGAUAAGGCUGUUCAUGGCGAGAAGGAGCUCCGGCUUCGACCCGGCCUCCAGCCCGAAGUUGUAGACCUUCCCAAAACCGACCAGGUCGUCCACCACGUGCUUGUUCUGAUUUACCUGUCGAUCGAAUAUAAAAUAUUAAACACAUCGUUAUGUAGCGACUUAAUCUUUUAAUAUCAUCUCUCUUUUUACAUUAUACCAAUGCUAGCUGACUAAUUCUUAGGUAAUAAUUAUUGAAAAAAUAGUUGUUACGUUAUAAUUUCUCUGUUUCUUAUUUAAUCUCGUUCUGUGUUUCACAGCCAGAAAGGAAAAAGAAAAAAAAAAGAAGAAGAUAUCAGAUCAAGCUAGCCAGUAAGAAUAUUCUGGUUUAAACUUUUAUAGCAUUCUAUUAUUUCAAAGCAAAAUAUUGCUGCACCUUUACGGGGAACACCCCUUGAUAGUGGGAGGUGUAGCCCGUAUACUUAAUGGCAUUCGCAAACGCAGUAUUGAGCGAGUCCAAACGGUGCUUGAGCACGUCGGGGAAGCGGAGAAUGAGCGGGAACUGGAGAUUCUUCUCGGUCGCUUUCUUCACCGCGGCGAGCAGGUCAAUCUCCUGCUCGGGUUUGGUCUCAACGCCGUGAAUCUUAACGGAGACGUUGCCGCUAGAGUCAACGGUGAAGUAAGGGUCACCCCAUCCCGCAAUAUUGUAGAGGUAACCAUAGUUGGUCGACAUGGUCUCUCCUUCCUACACAAAGAGUUAAUUAGCUAAUAAAAUCUAGGGCUUAGUUUCGCAGUGAGAAUCGCAUGAGAAUGAAGGAGAUAAUUUCUCUCGCUCUUAUUAAUCUUCGACGGUCGAGAUCUCUUCUACAUGUUUGUCACUGAUUGGACGGAUGCGAUCUGUUUUGGGGCUCUCUGUGGGAUCCCCGUUUUAUCGAUGGUGUGGUCACAACAUCAAGCAGCCGCGCAAUAUGCGGAAAAGGUCAAAGUUACAUCUUUGGUUUCCGAAUUGUGAUCACGUGUUUGGGGCGCACCAUCGCCUUUACUGUGAUAAUAAAUUAAAGGAUUCCCCCAAACAUUGUCUACGUGCAUUAAAUAGGCUCAUUAUAUAUUUAACGUUUUGGGCCUCGUUGCUAUUUAGACCGUGUUUUCCGAUCGAUGAGAAAAUAAUUAAGGAUGGGUUAAGGUAGAGUGAUGUUGACCACCACAUAGAUCAAUUAAUAUACUUCAAAGUGAUCAUAUUGUGCAAUAUAGGACGUUAGAGAGUCUAGUUAGCGACUCAUAUAUACGGUAACUAUGAUAAAGGUGACUUUAUCCAGUCUCGGAGUACGUAGUUCACAAGUUUGAUUGAGUAUUAGGAAGAGAAUGAUUGUAUUGUGUGAUAUUUAAAAAACUAAUAGUGUUUAUUGAAUUUAUUGGGAUUCACAGAACUGCAUUACGUGUGAUGAGAAUAUACAAUGCGAAAAUAUUUUAUUUCUUUUUACAUAAUGAUAUAUUUUGCAUAUUGUAAUAAAACGGUUAUAAGAGUUCGUUUCAUUUACUUUUAUAAAUACGAUCGUUUAAUUCCCAUAAGUUGUCUCUGUAAUUUAGUUUCUAUUUAUAAUAGCUCACGUGAACUGCGUGUUGAAACAGUUCCAGAGAUAAACCUCUUUUUCUUUAUUACAGUUUUAAAUAUGUAAGGCCACAUGCUAAUUAUAAGCUGGCUAUUCAAUUAGCGCCCAUGAAUGGACGCUUAUAUAUGUUAUUUCAUUUUGCAAAGCAUUUUCAAAAAUCAAUUUUAUCUCUCACGUAAUAUAUUUAAAAUUGUUAUCCCUUGCAAACGCAUGAUUGUAAUAUUAUUAGGAAAUAAUAAAAAUAAUUUUUAUAAAUUUAAUAAUAGUAAGUUAAGUUUAACCUAUUUGAUGGACAUUUAAUUAAUUGCAAAAUCACUUCAUUAUCUUAAUAAUAUUUAAAAAUCUACUAUCUUUAUAAUCUAAUACUUAAUCCUCUAUAGAAGUAUUCUUCUUAGUAAUCAUCAUAUUAUUAUUUUUAUAUAAUCAAGAAUUGUUAGAGAGAGGAUUCACGAAAUUAUUCAAUUAAUUAUUGUAUGAACACUAAAGAUUAUAUUUCAUUUGUUACAAAAGUGUUAUAAUGUUUGGAAUUUGUUUUGUUGGGGAAAUUACAUUAUACUAAUGUUUGAAUUUACUUUCAACGAGUGCUUGUAAAGGUAGGUUUCUUUGAAUGUCUACAGAGUGUUUUAACUUAUCGAUUCAUCAUCUUGAUUAAUUGAUGCGAUGAUUNAAUAAUAAAGGAUUAUUACAAUGUUAGUACGCAAACGUUCCCUAUUGUUAAAUGUUUUUUUUUUUAAAUUUUUUGUUCUCGAGACGAGGUAUGUAACCUUAUAUUUGAUUGUGGCGAAUAAAAUACAUUUGCAUGCGAGUUUUAAAGUCAACACUAAAAUCGACGCGUCCGGAUCUUUAUUAGAAUAUAUGGGCGAAGACUACGACUUACUAGAAACCGCGUGCACUACGAUGAGUCAGCAAUUCAGCUCUACAGUGUAGCAGCAGCUUAGAAUAGAUUUUUUUAAAAAAAUUAAUUGCUCGAUAAAAUAGUAUGUAAAAAAAAAAUAUAUAUUAUCUAUACCGUGUAUUAGUAAAAUAUUAAUAUAAUACCUAUCCAUUCAAACAUAUGAUAACUUUUUUAAAAAUAUUUUUUAAUAUUAAAAUAAUAAUUAAAUUAUUUUUUUCGAUGAUUAGUACAGGUGGGUUGAAAUAAAAAAUUUUAGAAUGCAAUAGAUAUAUUAGUAAUGUGGCGCAACAAAUCAAUCAAAUGUCUUCUUUUAGGAGUAUAUGUCUCAUUAAAAUUAUAAAUAAAUAUUUUUAUUAUAUGUUUAUUUAAAAAAAAUAUGAUUGACUUGUUAUUAAUAACGUGAUGUAAGUAUGAUAAUGUAGAAUUUGUCGGUUGAAAUACCGUGCGCGUGGGUGUGCAGAGAAAUUAAUUUUACCUGGACCUCAACAUAUAAGUAGUAUAAAAAAUACUAAAGAUUACGUAGAAUUGGCCACGUGCUUUGUGUACUUUAGAUCUAGAAGAGGUUAAGGAUAAGGUCAACGUUUUGGAGUCUUAAUAUAUUAUAUUAUGUUUAUUACAAAGAGGAUUCAAACUUUGUAGUUUUGUUUGAACUAUAAUUAGAAAUUCGAUUUGAAAUUGAUAAUUGAAUUCAAAUUUAAUUUAGAAUUUUCAUUUAAAUUAUAGUAAAAAUUUUGAAUUUGACUUUAAUUUUUGGAUUAUAUAUUUAGUACUUGGAAUCAAUAUUGAAUGUAAAUUUAUAUUAAAAUUUGAGUUGAAAAUGUGAGUUUGAAUUCAUUUAAAAAAAUUAAAAACUUUGCAUCGAAAUCUGAAUCUUAAUUGUGAAUUUUAAAUUUAAAUUCAGUUUUAGAUUUUGAAUUUGAGACUUUGUAUUUGAAUUUGUAUUUGAAAUUUUAAAUUUGAAUGCAGAAUAUGAAUUUGAAUAAAAAUUUAUAUUUUGAAUCCGAAGUUUAAUUAGAAUUGGAAACAAAAAUGUGAAUUUGAAUUUAAUAUUUGGAUUCGAAUCUGAAUUUGAUUUUCAUCUAAAUUUGAAUUUGGAAAUCAGAUUCAAAUUUAGUAUUUGUAUUUGAGAUGCUAAAUUUGAAUCUGAAUUUGAAAUCAAAAAUUAAAAAUCAACAAUUGACUUUGUAUUUGACAUUAAAUUCUAGAUUUAAAAAUCUCAAUUUAAAUUUAAACUUUGAUUUUAAAUCUAAAAUUUAAUUUGAGAUUCUGAUUCAAAUUUAGAUUUUGAAUUUAAAAUUCAUCAUUCUGCUGCUCCUAUGUCAUAAUUCUUUUGCUUCUAUGUAACCACGUAGAAUGUAAUUCUCAAAACAGCCGACAUGUGCAAUUUUGUAAAAGUCUAUGCAAUAAUUAUCAAUAUACAAAAAUUUAGUAAAUUAUGAUGAAAAUUUUAUAUUGAAAAACCAAUAGUAGGAUUUGUUUAUUUUUAUGUUAGCUGUAUAUAAACAACUCUAAAUAUGUUGACAUAGAUUUUAAAUUUAAACAUUAAUUCUUGCGAAUAUUUAGUUUUUUGACAUAAAUUUAGAUUUUAAAGGAGAUUGGAGGGGUACAUUUGUCGUGUGAACAAAUAGUUCUAUAAGCAUUUUAUAUUAUGAACACUUCUGCAUAUUAGACUGACAAUUUUAAACAUGAAAUCUAAUAAAGUUUUCUAAAAAAUCGGUAAAAAAAUCAGCAUUAAGGGCAGAGAAAGCACAUCACAAUCAGCGAUAGAAUGUUUCUAAGAUAAAAGGAUCUAUACAUUAGGCACAAGUGUUUGCAGUUGAUCUUGAUAUCUAAACCAGCGGUUAAUUAAUUGUUCACUUAAAGGGGUCAGCAUCCUGCCAUGUGGCAGGACAUCAGGUUGGACCGAGCUAUAUUCGAAAUUGUGGGAGGCUGGGUUGAGCCAAGUCGUGUUCGAAGUGGCGUGAGGUUAGUUGGGCCAAAUCAAAAUCGAAACCCGUGAGCGCUAUGUUUGUAUACUUUAAAUGAAUUUAGUUAUGUAUUUCUAAAAAUUAGAGUCUCUGAGAUUAUUGGUUAGCACCAACGAUCUGACGUUAGCUACCGAGACUACAGAAGUAUGCAAGAAUUCAUAUAAAUACAUCAAGAGAGGAUGCUGCUAAAUAUAUGAGUUUUUUCUGGUGUAUAAGGGAGUAACAUAUGGGCUUUCCGAGUGCAAUUAUUGACAAAUAGGCGUUACCCAGGCUAAAUUCACAAUUUGCUCUUGGGCCGAGCAUGGCCCAUCUCUCCCAACCAGUGUAUGGACUCGAUUCCCCACACAAGUCCAAAACCGUGCUACUUAACUCGUGACCAACGCGACUCUGGUACGCACCAAAGCUGGUCCCGCCGCACGCACGCACGCACGCACGCAUCCCCGCUUCGCCUUCCUUCUUGAACCCUCUCCCUCGCCACGCCACGCUACGCAUGGCAUCGCGUGAUCCUUCUCCCCCAUAUUAUUACUAUUAUUAUUAUUAUUUUUUUAUUAUUUUUAUUUUUGGUUUCUUCUUCUUAUGCUCCUGCUAUAUUAGGUCUCUUUAGCUUCGACAUUUUCGAUCGUGGUCUCUCUCGAUGGAAAUCCAUGGGCUCUCCGUGGAGCUGGGCCUCGUCCCUCUCCUCCGCCUCGCGUGGGUCGCGGCGACGUUGCCCAUCCUCGUCGCCUCCCUUCCGCUUCCGCCCACCGGAUUUGCGCACCGGAUCGUCGCGAGAAUCGGCGGAAGGGGGAAGAUCGUGAAGCCUUCUGCCAGUGUGAGUUCUCUAAUUCUUGUUAGAAAUUUUAGUUAGGGUUUCAUUUGUUCUGUUCCCAUCAUCUAUCUUCUUCUUUUUUUUGUGCUCUGCUUUGAUCUCGUGGAUUAUUUCUAGUUGUGCUCUGUUUUGAUCUCGUGGAUUAUUUGUAGUUAUCCACUCUGUUCUUGGUGUAAAUUAAUUCCUGGGAUUACAUAUCAAAUUUACACCGGCGUUGGCAAAACAAACGGUUUUUUAAAUCUUGAUGCGACUUUGAUCUAAUUCCUGUGGAAAACUGAAUUACACGCUCGAAUAUUUCACUGUUUUUCUGUGGGUACUUUGAAGCUCGCUUCACAACUCGCAUGAGCAACAAAUCUUUCUUAUGCACUUAUCGAGGCCGAUUCGGCUAUUUUGUUUUUUAAAUCUUGCUAUUCUUUAAUUUAAAGAUGCCAUUUCUUCAAGUUUGAUGUGUUACCCUGAGACGCGGAUUAAUCCUGUAUGCAGAACGGGAAUUGGAUCACAGAACACCACUUGCUCCAAAACAUGGUACGAUAGGGAUAGCCUUUAGGGUGCGUUUGGUUCGCGCUAUCUUUUUAAGAUUUCUAGUAAUCCAAUAAGAAUAAAAAAAAUAUGACGGUAUUUGGCUAAACGCACUAAGUAAUCUAGUUGAUAAUACUAGAUUUAUUUGGGAAUGAGAUGCAUCCCAAAGUACUAAUCUCAUUCGUUUGAGGGAGGGUGGGUAUCCGUAUAUUAAUAGAUUAGAAUAAGUAUAAUAUGUCUAAUCUUUUUUUUUCUUCCCACCCGCCGGCUAGUUGGUAUUAUUUUUCUUUACACUCUAACCUCAUAUCUUUCUCUAAACUUUUUUUUUUUCUAAACUUUAAUUCUUUUUCUCUCUCUAAAUUAAGCUAUUUCUCCCUCACUUUUUUUAAAAUCUCAACCCUCUCAUUCUCUCUAAAUAACAUGACUAAAUAGUAUGAUCGUACGAACCAAACACCGAAAUACUACAUUCUUAGUAAUAGGAUAAAUAGGAAUAAGAUCGGAUAUCUUUUUACUCCUAGUAAUCUUUCAUAGUGCGAACCAAACGCACCCUUAUUGCCAAGUUUUAUAGGAAUUGAAAACAUUCACUUGAAACAAAAUGUAAAUAAAUAAAACAUAUAUACAUAUAUGAUUCCGCUAUAGAGUAAAUAGGUUAGAAUUAGGAUAACUUGUUUUGCCAUUCCAAUUCAGUAAUGAUCCACAAAUCAGAUCAUAUGUUCCAAUUUUUGCAAUUCAAAGGAAAUUUUAUGGAUUAGCUAAUCACAGUGUCAUCUCUUUCUUCUUUGGCAAAAAAUAAGGUAAGGUCCUUUCAUAAAUCGCAACCUUCUACUUUUAACUUUGACAAUCAAAAUUCUUUUCCUUUUCGAAAACUGUAAAAUGUUCUUUUUUAUGUACUGCAGAAGUUCACAGUUCCACAAAGAUUCUUCUUGCAUUUUUAUGUGGUGGGUGUGGUGUUGACAACACUAGUGUUGCUAUUGAUAUGGUUCUACGCAUAUAAGGAAAUGACUCCAGUAUUCCCUGAUUUGUUACACUAUUCAACGAUUACCAGCCAACUAACUGGAGGCUCUCAUGUAUUUUCAAUUCAUAAAGGUCCUUCACAUACUGUGGAGCAUAAGCAUCAUGUUUGGCAAACUGUGUUUGUGCUGUUAUUAAUGGAGAUUCAACUCUUAAGACGUUUGUAUGAGACAAUAAACGUGUUCCAUUAUGGGCCAUCAGCUCAAAUGCACAUAUUUGGCUAUCUCGCUGGUUUAUUGUAAGUUCCUUGAAACUUUGCCUUUGCCGCUUUCCGACGAAACUUCUAAAUUUUUCUUUGAAGUAUUGAAUAAAAAAAUAACAGUAUUUGAAUAUUCAUUACAAAAUCACCCUUUAAAGUUUAAUCUUGAUAGGUGAAUAUUUUCGUAUUUAUAACAAAAGCACAACCAACUUUUCAUUUUUAGUUCAUUUAUACUUGAACGGCAUCAUUUUUGAUUAGUUGGCUUACUAGUUCCUUCACAGUGAUCUAGGAUUCUAUAUAUUAUUCUGAUGUCUUGUUCACUAUGCGAUGUUGAGUUUUUUUUUCACUAAAUUACCAAACAAUCACUAGAUGGUAGGCCUUGACAAGUCAUCAAUUGUUUUUAGUAACUUAAAUGUGUAAAUAACAAUGUGAGGCUACUGACCGUCCCUAGCGCAAGUGGCAAAAGGGCUUGGUGGUUGGUACCCAAGACCCAAGUUCGAAUCCUUUCACAUUUCCAGCUAAGUUUAUUUCUAAAUGAAAUAAACGAAGCGGGUAGCAUCCUACCUUUCUCUCAAAAAAAAAAAAACAAUGUGAGGCUUUUAUAAAUUGUUCAUUACUUGAUGGUUGACUAUUUGUUAACCUUUUCCAACACUUCUGAGAUGCUUUCUGUUUCUAUGCUAGCUUUUAUAUUGCAGCACCUUUAUCUCUUGGUAGCUCAUGUCUUUUGGAGGCAUUGAAUUAUGCUCGUGGUCAAAUUGCUGAGUUCAUUGUCAAAGGUAGAGCAAGAAUGCCAGAUAUAGAGGUUGAUUGGUUAGGAUUGUUAAAGCCUCUUCUAAAUUUGGGAUGGUGCCAGUGGGUUGCUGCGGCUAUCUUUAGCUGGGGUUGGCUUCAUCAGCUACAUUGCCAUAUGAUUCUUGUAAGUGAUGCUUUCUUUAGAAUAAUUUAGUAGAGCAUCUAUGGGAAACCAUGCUUAUAUCCUUUUCAAGGGGAAAAAAUGCUUUACAAUGAUUCUAGAAUAUUGAGUCGUACGGAAAUAUGAAUACUGUACGUAAUUAUUUUAUUUAUACAAACUUGACUAUCUACCCACUUAGAGACAUGAACCCUCAAGAGUCUUUCACUACAAUAAUGCAAUAAAUAUUACUUUCACACAAUUAAAACAGCUCGCAUACACUACUAUUUUCACCUUAAACUAUUCUUUUGAACUUUAUAUUCAGUCACUAUGCAACUCACUGUUCUACACUAUGCACUAGUUCUUACAAACAGAUGCUCACAUCUUAUCUUCUCUUUUUCUCGCCUCCUUGAUCCCAAAUGAAGACUUGAAGAAAAAUUUGCUUAACUAGAAAUGACGGUUUUAGUGCUUCAGCCUAUUCCCAGAUGUCAGCGAAACAAAGCGUCCUUACCAAAUAAUUCAUGUUUGUUCCCUUUUCUGCCAGACAAGCAUGAUCUUACUUAUUUAAACAUAGUUGUCACAGCAGGUAGUCUUAGAAAAGCUUGAGUAGAAAAGUUGACUCCACUAACAUAUAUUUCUAUUUGUUGAAAUGAUUGAAUGGAGAGUCCAGACUUGUUAUCUUAAAUGUUUCCUUCAGGAUUCAUUUUAUCCUUGCCUACGUUCUUUCUAAUAGGUUUCUCCUUUUCUAAUGCUGGCAUCUAAACUUCUUUUUAUCAUCCAUUGUUAUACGAACAACAUGGUUUGCUUAUGCAACUUCUUGUUUAGAUCUUUGUCAUAUUAUGUAGGAUAAUUAAGUCGUUACUCCUGUCAGGGCUCUUUGAGAGAAAACAAAGGAGCUGAUGAAUAUGUGAUUCCUCAUGGUGACUGGUUCAGAUAUGUUUCUUGUCCACAUUACCUUGCUGAAAUAGUAAGUUCUGUGAUCGUUUGUUAAUGUUAACAUCAUUGCUUCUGUAUCUUGUCAGAUAGACCUUAUAUUAUCAGCAUUGAAUUUAUAUGUCGUAUUACUAAACUAUUUUCAUCAACCUCUUCUAAUGCUUUUUGUACAUGAAGGGGAUUCUAUGUAGUUCAGCAUUUAAAAAUUGGAAAAUGGUGCAUCCGGAGCAGUUUUGGCGCAUGUUCCACAUAAAAAAAAAAAAUCUGGCAGGUUCAUUGGUGGAAAAGGUGGUAGCGGGUCCCACCAUGAAUCUCAUCUGAUUGUUGAACUGCACUGACCCUUGAAUUACACGUUGUUACAAGUGCCUAAACUAUCGUGGGCGUAGUAUUGCUUUUAAAAUAUCCAAACUGUUGGGCUUUAAGGGGUACAAUUAAAUAUUGCUGUAUGAUUUACUCUAGUCUUGUACUUUCUGAUGCUAGGACUAAAUUUCUUUUAUCUUUUGGUUAAACAUGCAAUUUAUCUUCUCAAAAUGAUGUAAAACAGCAAGUGAAUUGUCUUUCAACAUGCAGGUAGUCUAUGCAGGGAUUUUGGUGGCAAGUGGCGGCUUCGAUAUCACUGUGUGGCUUCUUUUUUCAUUUGUGGUAUGUCGUAUCUCCUUGAAAGGAUGUUGAUGUCAAUUGGAAUUAUCAAAUUGUGUUCAAAUUUGUUAUUGUUUUCUAUGGUUCUUUCAUCAAUCAUUACGUUGAUCAGCUUGUCUAUCCAGGUAGCCAACCUAGUCUUUGCUGCAGCAGAAACUCAUAGAUGGUAUCAUCAAAAGUUCGAUGAUUAUCCACAAUCCCGUCGUGCUAUAAUCCCAUUUGUUUAUUAGGGGUGUAUGAAAAUGGGCGAGUUGCUUGAGGAUAGUGUAUCUUGCUAGCGACCGGAGCAGAGCCAAACAUUUCUUUUCUUGUGUUUGGACAUGGUCAUGCAGUGUACAAAAUACAUAUCGGCGGUCACACUCCAAACUUGUGUGGUCGAACUACAACCUGCAGAAUACAAUAUUAUGUUGUAUGUUCCACAUUGCACAAAUUAUGUGUUAAUCGACUCGAAUUGUGAUUGAAUUGUCACUUUCAACCUUUUCGAGUGGGAACGCUAAUCAAAAUGGAAUGCUUUCCUCAAAAAUAGCAGGAAACUCUAAACUUUAGACGGUUGUGAUUACUGGAAAUAAAAUGUAUGCCUCUGUUUUGUUUCUGAUCAAGUGUUCUAGUGUAUAUAAUGUAAUCCUUUCUUUUAACAUGUAAUGAAUUUUAGCAAUAUUUUCUAUAUUACUUGCUGGUCAACUGCAAAUUUGUGCUUUCUCUUUCACAAGUAUAUCGCUCCUUGGGGAGGACGUUGGACUUGCAUCAGAAAAAAUUUUGAGUGUAUACAUAUUAAGUCUAAAUACUUGUGAUUCCUUGUCGCAGUAAUGAAUGUACAUGCCAAGCCUAAGGGUAAAUUUUUGCGACUUUAUGGUCCCAAAAUAUUGGAUUUGUAUUUGAUUGGUCUUUGUGGUUAUUAUGUUUUUUUGGGGGGUUGGAGGGUUGGGGCCACACCGGGGGAGAAAAAAAUAUGGCGUCACAGGGAAAGCGCACAUGUUGAGCAUUUAUGGUAUUUUCUUGUAAAAGUCUUAUUUUGUACACUCAAAUAAGUCUUAUAUUCUAUUCAUUCAAAACUAAAUGUUUUCUUAUUAUUUUUUAAAAUUAUUUUUAUUAUUAAAAAUGUUUUAAAAAUUAUUUAAAAUUUUAGAUAGGUGGGUAUGCAAUUUAUAUUUUCUUCUGUGUGUACUAGCAUUAUUUCUCUUUCACAUAUGUCAAAUAAACUACGAAAUCAGAAGGUUGAAUUAUGGAUUUUAGUGUAUUUGAAUAAAUUAAGGGAAAACUUCAAAAACCCCCCUGUGGUUUCGUGCAUUCUCACUUUGCUACCCUGUGGUUUAAAACGUAUCAAUUUGCUCCCCUGUGGUUUCGUUUUUAUCUUUUUGUUAUCAAUUUUAUUAUUAUUUUUUUUUAAAAUCAGUGACAAAGUUAAAAUUAAAGGAUACUAAAGUGACUAUUCGAUAAAUAUAGAUGGUUAUCUGAAGUUUUUUGUAUAUAAUUUAACGAAAUAUUAACGAAAAAGCUUCCGAAAAGAUAAAAAUGAAACCACAAGGGGGUAAAUUGAUACGUUUUAAACCAUAGGGUAGCAAAGUGAGAAUGCACGAAACCACGGGGGGUUUUGAAGUUUUCCCAUAAAUUAAUUAGCUGUGACGCUUGUAACUUCACUCUUUAUGUGAAAUCAGAAGGUUGAAUUUUACUGGUCUCCACGGAAAGAUUUGUACGCUUUUUUUUUUUUUUUUUUUUUUGCCUGACUCUAAAGAUAAAAUGUUUUCAACAUUUCACCUUUUCAUGUGAUCUCCUAAUUAUAACUUUCUUUAAUAAAUUUUUUUCUGAAACAAAUUUUAGAAAGCCUUGUUUUUUUAAAAUAAGCCUUGUUUUUUCAAACUUUAUUGUGAAACAACCGUUAUACUCUAAAAAUUUAAGUUGUUAAAGAAUAAUGUUUAAAUAUUUUUAUAUUUAACACUCCUCCUCACGUCUGGACUCGAGACUCUUUAAUCGGCCCAUGACGUGGGCUUGAAUUAAAUGGGAGAAAAUUAAUAUGCUAGGAGCCUGAUGUGACUCGAACUCAGGACCUCUCUCUGAUAUUAUGUGAAACAAUUGUUAUACUCUAAAAACUUAAGCUGUUAGAGAAUGAUGUUUAAAUAUUUUUAUAUUUAACAUUUACAAACUUUGUGAUCUCCUAUAAUGUACACCAAUAUUAUAAGCCUUGUUUUUCCAAAAUAUUGCUGUACAUGUAAAGUUUGUACGUGCACAACAUCAGGCUUAUAGCCUCGAGUGAUCGUUGAAGGGGCACAGCUCAAUCAAGAGAUAUAUAUAUAUAUAUAUAUAUAUAUAUAUAUAUGGCUGAUAUGGAUGAAACUUUGUUUAGGUUCAUUAAAAAAGGCUCAUGAGGAACUCAGAAGAACAAUAAUACUGGGAACACACGAACACACGCGUCACGCGAGCGCACACUAAUAUUUGAUGGCAAGGUGAGAUAUCACGCACCUCUUGAAAGUGAAAUACCAAAUCUCCUUUAACAAGGAGUUCGAAAUACUGUAACCCUUCGUUCGAAAAUCAAGUAAAAUCCUUUGGAAAUUAUCAUAUUAAAAAAUAUUAAAAGAUUGAUAAAAUUUAUCUUCAAAGUUUGGUUAUUAGCUAGGUGACCAUGUUGUAGAAUUUUAAUUCAUGUUGGAUUGCAACAUUAGUAAAACUCUCCUUGAAAUCACUACAACAAUUUUAUUCUGUUCCAUCUAUUGAGUUGUAUUAAAAAUUAAUUAAAAGGUAAACUUCAAAUACCACCUCUAUGAUUUCGUACUUUCUUACUUAAUACCAUAUGAUUUAAAGUGUAUCAAUUUAAUACUUUGUGGUUUCAAUUUUUUCUUUUCAUCAUCUCUUUUCUUAACAUUUCGUUAAAUUGUAUAUGAAAAAUUUCAGAUACCCUACCUAGGUUUAUCGAAUAUUUAUUUUAGUAGCUUUUAGUUUUAACUUUGUCUCUGAUUUAACGAAAAAAUUUAAUGAAGGGGAUAAUAAAAGGAGAGAGAAAAAUAAACCACGGGGUACUAAAUUGAUACACUUUAAACUACAGAAUACUAAAAUAAAAAAGGAUGAAACUACAGGAAUAGUAUUUGAAGCUUUUCCAAAAUUAAAUUGUUAUGAGAUAGAGAUAUUUUUUAUUGUAAUUAUUUAAGCUUUUGUCAUUUUGUGAUAAUAAUAUAAUUAUAUUGGUUAGCCAUUUAUUAUCUUGCAUGUAACUUCCACUUGUAUCUCGGCAACACAUUUCCAUUUUCUACAACUGUUCUACGACAUUACUGAUACAGAGGACUUAACUUGCUUUACAUACAAUUCACGAUGAGGUACCAACUGUUUCUAUCCUAAGUGGUAAAUAUCCUAAGUGGUAAAGGAUUUAAUAGUUAGUAUUCUAGAUCUUAAGUUCAAAUUUUAGUUAAUUCACAUUUUCAGCUAAAUUUAUUUUUUUCAAAAAAAUAAACAAAGCGUGUAACAUAUUAUUUUUUUCUUAAAAAAAAAAUCACAAUAUAUAAGAUGGGCAGUUGUCAUGAUCAAAAAGGACCACCAAUCAAUACAUUAUCAAAAAGGACUAAUCAAAUUCGGUCAUACUACGAAGGAUAAAUUGUUUUGGAAUCAACGAAAAACUUUUUAUUUGUGCAACAAAAUUAAUUAGUUUCCACCCUUGUCACCCCUUAAUUAUGUUGAUAUAUUUAUAAAUGUGAGUAUUAAAAAAGUUUAAAAGCGGAUUGCGUUAGACGAGGGGAUUAUAUGUUGAAAAAUCGAGAUUAAAGUUUCUAUACUCCUUAAGAAUCAUAAAGAUUUCUAAUUAAUUACGCCUAUUUAUAUUUAGACAACCUUCGAUUAAACUGGUCAAUUAUGAUAAUUGGCAAAACAGAAUGCAUUUCUUUUAUUUCUCUUGUACAUCGGUAUACAAAAUUAAUACAACUGAAAAAGAGAAAAAGCGACAAUUAUUAUUUCUCUACUUUUCUCAUCUUCAAGGUAUUUCUCCAAAACAAUGUCGGUCAUGCAUCAUACAUAAGCCUUUUUUGGUAUUUCAUCGAGCAUUUGACACGCACACAAGUAAUGUGCAAAUUACCUUUGACAUUUCAUCGAAUACUUAGCACGCGUACAUGAACAAUACAGCAUGCUCAAGUUUCCUUUGACAUUCUGUGAUAUGCACACCAUUUUUUUGGCAUUUCAUCGAACGUAUAGUACCCGCAUAUAAACAACGCACUAUGCACAAAUUCUUUUUGGCAUUUUGUCUAGCACUUGGCAUGUGCACAUAAAUUAUCCAUCAUGCACAACUUAUUUUUGACAAAAGCCAAUUCAAAAUAGCGGCAAUCAAUAAUUUGAUUGGAGCUUUCCGUUGGCGACUAAGCGUCGAACGGAUAGUCAUCGUCGUUGUCGUCGUCUACCGCUGACGGCUAAGCGUCAAGCGGAUGAUCAUCGGAUCGUUGUUGUCGCCUACCGCCGACGACUGAGUGUCGAGCGGAUCGUCGUCGGUGUUGUUGUCGCCUACCGCCAACGGCUGAGCGUCGAGCGGAUCGUCGUCGGUGUUGUUGUCGCCUACCGCCAACGGCUGAGCGUCGAGCGGAUCGUCGUCGUCGUUGUUAUCGCCUACCGCCGACGGCUGAGCGUCAAGCGGAUGAUCGUCAUCGUCGUCGUUGUUGUCGCCUACCGCCGAUGGCUAAGCGUCGAGCGGAUCGUCGUCGUCGUUGUUGUCGCCUACCACCGGCGGCUGAGCGUCAAGCGGAUGAUCAUCGGCGUUGUCGUUGUUGUCGCCUACCGCCGGUGGCUAAGUGUCGAACGGAUCGUCGUCAUCGUUGUUGUCGCCUACCGCCGACAGCUGAGCGUCAAGCGGAUGAUCAUCAUCGUCGUCGUCGUUGCCACCUUUACUGUCGACGGCGAAGUGUCAAGCGGAUCGUCAUCGUUGUUAUUGUCGCCUACCGCCGACGGCUGAGCGUCAAGCGGAUGAUCAUCAUCGUCGUCGUCGUUGCCACCUUUACUGUCGACGGUGAAGCGUCAAGCGGAUCGUCGUCGUCGUUAUUGUCGCCUACCGCCGACGGCUAAGCGUCAAGCGAAUCGUCGUCGUCGUUGUCGUCGCCACCUUUACCGCCGACGGCUAAGCGUCAAGCGGAUCGUCGUCGUCGUCGUUGUCGGUGCAGCAACAGUAGGCGGAUGGCCACCUCCUUGGUCGAUGAUGACGCCACGCUAGCAAAAGAGAACGUGCACCAAUCCAGGAUCAACGACGACGGGGCAACAGCUGUCAGCAAAGGUGUUGGAAUUGCGACGAGCGGUCGUCUUUUCUUAGUUGACGAUGACCCGGCGUAGUAGAGGUUGAUGACGGCAUGCAUAGCCCGGUGUGCAUAGAAAGCUCGAUAUAUGGAGUGCCUUGACUAGGAGAGAAGAGAAAAAAAAAAAUAAAAGCGAGAGGAUCUAAACCCACCUUUCUAUUUGGCUCUUUUUUUUGUUAGAUCCAAGUUUCUUUCCUCCUCAUUUUUUUUGGUGAGUCGAAUCCUCUUCUUUUUUUUUUGUUCACUUCUCUUUAUAUAGAUAGAGGCUAGUGGAAGUUUAUGGUGAAGAGAAGAGCAAAUGAUGGAGAAGUGGAGGGAAUGGUGAAGUACUGGAGGGAGUGAUGGAGAAGUAGAGGGAAUGGAGGGAAAGUGGAGGGAAUGGUAGAGAAAAUGAAGGGAGUGUGGAGAAGUGGAUGAAAUGGUGGAGAAAGUGGAGGGAGUGAUGGUGAAGUGGAGUAAACGGUGGAGAAAGUGGAGGGAGUGAUGGAGAAGCUAAGGGAGUGAUGGUGAAGUGAAGUAAAUGGUGGAGAAAGUGGAGGGAGUGAUGGAGAAGUGGAGGGAAUGGUGGGAGAUCGUGGAGGAGUGGAUUUAGGGAAGUGAUCUUUUUUUUUUUUCGUGUUAACAAUAAAAACAGCAAUGCAGGUCGUAUUAAUACAAUAAUAGGUUUUACAUCAGCAUGCACGAUCACUUGCAUUAAUUAUCACGAGAACAGAGGAUCGGGGGAGGCUUUAUACAACUUAUAUAAUAUGAGGAUAAGUCACAGGUUUACAUCACAAAGGAGACAAGGGUGAUUUUAACAGUAGAAAUAUAUUUAAAAAUAUCAGAAAUUUUUACAGGAACAACACAUGAAAGUUAAACUUUGUAGAGAUAUAUUUGUUAUUCAUUAUAUUUGUAAAAAUAUGUAUGAAAUUAAUCCUUAAAUAAUUAAAGUCAUAUAAAUUGAAAGAUUAGACGGUUAAAUCAAAAUUUUGAAAGGGCCAUAAACUAUACCUAAAUACUAUAAUAAAUUAUUUUUAUAAAAUUUAAGUUUAAGUAAAUUUUUUUAAAAAAAUAAAUUAUUUUUAUAAUAAAUUAUCUUUAUUAAAUCAUACUUUAUAACAAAUUAUUUUAAUUAAAUUAUUUCAUAAUAAAUAAUUAUUUUUAUAUUAUAUUAUAUAUCAAAUUCAACUAUUAUUUUGUUUUUAACUAUUCUCAAUCUAUUAUUUCAUAAACAAUAAUAUUAAUAAAAAGUAAUGCUAGAAAUACACCAAAAAUAGAUACAGGAUCUACAUCAGUGAAAAGUAGGAUGUACACUCAUCUUUUUACGUACAAGUAGUAUUUUACAUAAAUAAAACACAAUUUCAUUUUUAACGUUGCAAAAGGACGUGAAUGCCCUCGAGAGUUGCGGUGGCCCGUAUAAAAAACUUAUUAUUUGAUGUACAAACUAAGCUACGAAAGGUGCAUGAAUAAAUAUGGCAGGAUAAAGGUACAAAGGAAUCUACUAGGAAUAUAUGGUUACUCUUAUCACAUCCACUCAUCACGUCACCUCUCAAUUUUCAUUAUUCAAAUAAAUAAAUUUUGUAAGUGACAUAUUAAAUAAUUAAAUUAAAAUAUUAAUUGUAUAUAUUUUUUUUUCAUAAAUAUACCAAAUAACAGACAUAUUUUUAAUUUCUACAAAAUUUAAUUUUUUAUUUUUAUCUUUGUAUAAGUCCUAACGUUUUCAAAUAUAAUUAACUAUAAAUAUAAUACUUAAUUUUGAUUAGUGAAUGAGUUAAAUUAAUUUUUUCACCUUUCUUGUAUUAUUAGGUAAAAUGUUUUGUGAAAAAAAUAUUUUUAUAUAAUUUUAACAAAUGGAAGUUUGAAAAGAUAUAUAUUUAUAAUAAUAAAAAUAUAAUUUUACUUUUUUACUAUUAUAAAAUAAAUCAUAUUAUAACAAUAACAAAUCUAAAGAACGACUAUAAAUAUUACUAAACUUUUACAAAAAUAAAAAUAUAAAAAAUUAGAUUUUUUGUAAAAUAUAUUAAUGAAGCUGUAUACAAUUAAUUCUAUUUAAAAUAAUAAGAUAAAAUUAAAAGUACACAGUUAUACACAAAGAGGGACAAAAUUUGCUGGGCAGCGUGCCCAAACUAAUUAGUUUGGGCACGCUUCGGAUGGGCGCCGCGAACACAUCAGCCGCUCUCGCGGCGCCAUCACAACCAUUGAAAAAAAAAAAAAAAAAGAGUUGGCCCUUUUUUAGAAAGAGAGAAAGAUAGGGGGAAGAGAGCGCUGCCGAUCCGGCGGCGCGCCCAAACAAAUUAGUUUGGGCACGCUGCCCAGCAAAUUUUUGUUCGUAAUUAUAGCAAAGAAGACUUCUUUAUAGUACUUCUGAUCAAUAUUUUCGGAGAAUUAAAAUGAUUAUGAUUUUUUUUAUUUGUAUUAAAAAAUUAAAUGCUAUCGGCCGUUUUUAGUACAAGUGGCAAAAUGUUUAAUGAUUAAUAUUUGAAAUUUCAAGUUUGAAGACUAGUUGUUUUGCAUUUUUAAUUAAAUUUAUUUUUUUAAAAAAUAAACGAAACGGAUCGCAUAUAUAUUUCUUUAAAAAAAAAAUCAAAUGCUAGUCCACUUAAAAUUGAAAAUUCUAUUAAAAAAACAGAUUGCUAUUUUUUUUCAAUAACUAAAGAUUUUAAAUAGAUAAUUCAAUUAUUUCCGGCAAUUAAUAUAAGAGCGAAAGGCCCGAAGUUCAAAUAUUUUUGUCUCACUGCAUCCAAUAUUUUUGUCCCAAUGCUUUUUGGUAUUUUCAAAUAUACACUUCUAAUAUCAUCAAUAUUUUCUUAUUUGUCCUUAAGUUAAGAACAAAAGUAAUAUUUUAAUUUUUUUAACUGUAAUAGAUAUUUAACUCACGUUUAACUCAAAUUAAUUUAACGGAGGUAACUGUAGGAAUGUUUUAGAAUAACGAAUGAAUAUAUGAUAGGCAUUUUAAAAAAAAAAUUAAAAAAAAUAAAAUAUUUCGAAAUUUUUGAAGGAUAUAUAAGUAAUUAUUCUAAUUUUAAAAUAUCCAUCUCCAAGUUGUUUGUCUUUUACCUUUGCGCCAAAAUUGAUGAGCAAUAAAAGUUACAGGAGGAGGGCAAAGGAAGUGACUCUUUGCCAGGAAUUGAUGUUCGUACAUGACACACUCUGCUCUUUGUGGGACAAAAAUUUGCUGGGCAGCGUGCCCAAACUAAUUUGUUUGGGCACGCUGCCCAGCAAAUUUUUGUCCUACAAUUACUAAAUCAAAAGUCUUUAUUAUUCAAAAGUAUAAGAGUUGAAUUUUUUCUAGCACAUUUCAGCAUGAAAUCAUUUUAUGUCUUGUUUAAAUCUUUUGUUAUUUCACAUGACAUAAUAUAAUUACUCCCAAAUACAGGAUAUAUGUAUUAUUAUACAUGACAUAAUAUACCAGAUUGAUCUAUCUCGUACUUUCAAAUAUAUUCUGUAUGGUUAACACCGUAAACUCCUUUAUCUUUUUCGAUGUUUAUGGAACCUGGCAUUAACCAUCUCUUUUUUAAAAAGAAGCUCUCAAUAUAAUUCUUUGUUUUUUAAGAAAAAGAUAUCAUGCUAUCUGCUUUAUUCAUUAAAAAUAUAAAUUAAAUAACAAAAGUGAGGUAAAGAGACCUCGAAAAAAAAAGAAAAAGAAAAAAAGAAAACUUUUCUUUCUUGCUCUCAAUAUAAUUCUUGCUAUCAAUUAACUAUUGGUUGGCCACAAAACUUUUCGUUCUUGUAUUUGGAUAUGUCAAAAAUGAAGCAGUUGGAGCUUGGUUUUCUUGUUCCAAUAAAGAAAGUUAUUUCCUUUAAUUCCGGUACUUACUUCCACAUAUUAUACAAUGAGAAAUGCUAGUAGCUGUAUAUUUUACACCUUUAUAUACCGAACAAAGACUUAGAUAAUUUUCCUUUGAAAUUUACUAUUAAAAAAGAGUGUUGAAACUACUAGGAAUAAAAAGAUGUCUGAAAAUUUUAUUUCUAUUCAUCAUAUUACUAAGAAUGUGGUAUUUCUGUAUUUGGUUCUCACGGUCAUAUUAUUUAGUCAUAUUAUUUAAAUUUUCAAAAAAUAUAUAAUUAAUUUAGUUAUUUCUUUAAUUAAUUUUAGAUAAUGCUACAAAAAAAUUCCAAUAUCUUUUUAGAAAAAAAGGGAGACAGAAUAUAGGUUAGAGAGAGAGAGCAUAAUUAAAGAAAUAAGAAGAGAAAUGGAAUCGAGAUUAGAAGGAGUGAGAGAGUUGAGAUUUUAGAAAAAGAGGGAGAGAGAGAGUUAGUUUAGAAAGAAAAAAAGAGUUGAAGUUUAGAGAGAAAUAUGAGGUUAGAGUGAAAAGAAAAAUAAUACCAACUAACUAGUCUGCUGGUAGGGAGAAAGAAAAAAGUUAGAUAUAUUAUGAUUAUCCCAAUCUAUUAAUAUAAGUAUACCCACUCUCCUUCAAGAGAAUAAGAUUUGUACUUUAGGAUGAAUCUCAUUCCUAAGUAAAUCUAAUAUUACCAGUUAAAUUACUUAGUGCGUUUAGUCAAACACCGUCAUAUUUUUUUAUUUUUAUUGGAUUAUUAGUAAUCUUAAAAAAAUAGCACGAACCAGGACAAGAAAUUGGUCGCAGCUAAGCUUCUCCGGCCAGCUGAAAAAGAGCUUAUUCUUAAAACACUUUUACGGAGAGAUAUAUAAGAGCUUUUAGAAUUUUUUUUUAUUUUUCUCACUGAGCUUAAUUAGGACAAAAUUAUGCAAUUUUUGUUACUUCGGUGUACAACAUUUCUUUGGUACUGGGGGAAAAAUCCGAUGUCCUUCUAUAACAACUAUAGCUAGGAAAUCUUAGAAUUAAGCUGUUUUUAAUGUGUCCUUUCUUCUAGUCUAUUUAAUGUAUAUCUUAUAAUUAUUACAGCGGAUAGACUGAUUAGUCGAUGGUGCCCUGUGGAUCAACAAUGCAUUUUUUGCGCGGUGUUUUCAGAAAAUUGUGACCAUCUUUUCCGUGACUGUGUCUUUGUCAGAUAUCUUAUGUUGUGCCAAGGAGGCAUAGAGAUGAGCGAUGUAGAUUUGGGGGGAUGUUCGACGCCUAUGGAAAAAGAUAUCUUGCAACCCCAAUGCCGUGUUGAGAGCGAAGAGUUUAAUACGAUUGGCGGCGAUCUGGUGGGUCGUCUGGACCGAGCACAACAACACUAUAUUUUGUGCGACGCCUCCCAACGCAAACCAGGCCACAGUUCGUGUCGAGUCUUUGUCGGAGGACUGGACUGAUGUUAUGUAAUUUACGGUAAUUCCUGCAGUAGCUAUGUCCUUGUGCUUUCCAUUUAAUUGUUUAUUUUUGGCUUUUGUUUUGGUUUAUUUGGUUUUUUCGGCUUUUCUAGGAGGUCCUUGCUGCUUCCACUUUAUAUGCUUAGUUCAUCACGUUUAAUGAAUGAAACAGGUAGUUUGCUAAUUAUUUCUCAAAAAACACAAAUCAAUUAAUGGCCACUUUUAGAAAAUCUUUUUUACAGGAGGCAAAUACUCUUGUAAAAUUUUAAAACAUCAUACAUAUUCAUAUCUCUUAAAGGUUUGAAAUUUCAUCAAUACCCUUUCAAAUUUCAUAAAUUAUUGGGAGUGCUGUCACUGUCAUCGUCAGUUCAUUUUUGUUAAACUUUAUACGGUAUGGUGACAAUUUUGCCCCUAAUUAUUGGUGGGUAAAAGUGUUUGGAGACCCUCACAUAUAGAUCAUUUUAAAAUAGACCGCUUCAAUAUUUUUUUUAAUUAAGAACUCUUUUAAGUUUUUAAGUUUUUUGAUUUGGGAUUUUGUAGCAAAAUUUUUUACAAUUGAUAUCUAUCACUCAUGAAAUAUUAACAAAAUUUUAAUUUUGCUAAUAAAAAUCACUCAAUGACGGAAAAAUGUUAGAGGGUGUAAACACACACACCAAAUAAAAUAAAAUAAAAUAAAAACAAAAACAAGAAGGUCUUUCAAAAUGGCCUAUAUAUAGGUUAGCUGGAUUUUAUACACUAAUACAUUAAAAAGUGAUGAUAUAAGUCAUGUAAUCAAGAUCAAGUGUACAGAUCUUAUUCUAAAUUGUUUAAAAAAAUUUUUAAACAAAAACCUACCAAGGAUUGUUUAGUUAAAGAAAAUUUUAAUAUAAAGAAUUAAAAAUUUGAAAAAUAAUUUGAAUGAUGUUCAAAAACAAAAAUUCAUCAAAACAUAUUUUAAUUUUUCUUAUUUUUCAAUAUUUGUUUGGUCUUUCCUAAUUAACAAGUUGGAAAAAGUUCGAACAACUCUAAGGUCAAUGACCGUUCUAAUUGAGUAGGGCGUCUCGAGAGGUGAGAUCCGAUGCUCACGUAGCGACAGUUCUCACAACCUCAAUAGAUAAUUUGGGUGCCAUGACUAAAUAAUUUUUUUUUUUUUUUUUUUUAGAGAGAUAGAUAGUAUGCUAUUUAUUUUAUUUAUUUUAUUUAGAAAUAAAUUUAGCUGAAAAUAUGAAUCAAGUAGGAUUCGAUAUCGAACCUCAAGAAUCAAUCACCAAAUUUUUACCACUUGUCGUUAGCCGAUUGGUGAUAAAGUAAUUUUUUAUUCUGGUACUGUUGCACUAACCAUCUCCUUUUGUUGAAGCCCUUUCCUGCCAUCCAUUAACUAUCUGUAGGUUGUUGGUUUGACGUAAAACUGCGAAAAAAAAUUUCUCGUGAAAAUUUGUUUUACUAUUUUAGUGUUUGGUUUGUAGAAAAAGAAAACUAAUUUUCAGUUAUAGUUGUUUUGUUGAAUGGUUGAAAAGAAAAGUUAUAUUUUAUUAUUAUUUAUUAUUAUUAUUAUUAUUAUAUGUAUCAUAUAUAUUAUUUUUUAUAAUUUAUAUUAAUAUUAGGCUAUAAUUAUUAUUAUAUUUAUAUUUAUGAAUUAAAUAUAUUAAAAUUAUAUAAUAUGAUAAAUUGAUAAGUAUUUAAUUAAUAUAUAUAAUACUCCAUAUAAUACUAUAUAAAAAUAUAUAAUUUUUAUAAAUAAAAAUAUAAAUUAGUUUUUCUUAUAGUUGUUUAGUUGAAGAAAAAAAAUAAAAAUUUAUAAAUAAAAAUUAUUUAUAUAUUUUUUCUUAUUUAUAUAUUAUUUAUAUAUAAAAUUAUCAUAUUACAUAUAUUAGUAUUACAAUUUAUAUUUAUAAAUAAAUAUAUUAUAUAUUUAUUAAGUAUGUAAUAUAAUAUAUAAUAGUAUAUAUUUAAUACUAUAAAUAAAUUAUUAUGUAUUUAUAAAUAAUAUUUAUUAUAAAUAUAUUAUAAUAAUAUAUUUAUAUUAAAUAAAAUAUUUUAUAUAUAUAUUAUUAUAUUAAUAUAUAUAUAUAAAGAAGGGGGGAGAGGGAGAGGUCCACCAUGGACACCUCUCUCUCUCUCUCUGUCCACAAGGCAGGGUGUGCCUCGUGGACCGUGCGCGUGUUGCCCCCGCCCUUUCCAAACGUCGCGUUUUUUGGGGCGUAAGUUUUUGUUUUCGCUCGAAAUGAGCAGAAAACGAAAACUCUUCUUUUCCUCUAUAUUCGUAAAAUUAAUUUUUCAAGAAAAAUUUUUUACGGCCAAACAAAUGCAAGAUUUUUAGUUUUCCACCGAAAUUUUUUUUCAAGGUUGUUUUUAUGAUGAAACAAACAACGCACCCUUAGCCAAAAAAAAUUUUCUUCCUAGUUUCUGGAUUGGAAAAAAAUAAAGCAGUUGGUGCACGUUUUUCUUGCUCUAAUAAAGACAGUUAUUAAUUACCUUAAGUCUGGUGCUUUUACAGACUAUAAAAAUAUCUCAUAAAAAUUUCAACAAUUUAUAUACUAAUUACCUCAUGGGACACGCCCAACUAAUUCAUAUUUACCAAUAUACCAAAUAAAUCGCCAAACCAAAUUUAUAGAAGAGAAUUAUUCUCAUUAUCAUAGGCAUCAAGCCUACAUAACAACCACACACGAACCUCUCGCCUGAGCAUAUAUAUUUUUCAGGCUUUAUUUAACAACCACACGCGAACCUCUCGCAUGCGCAUACGAUGUCGGGGCUAACAUAGUAAGGCCACAUUAUUUAACGUACUAAAUGCCACGUACGCGACAAGUACUAUACAUAUCGAGCGCAUGCAUAACGUCGGCCUACGCCGCACCAAAGAGGUAAGGCAUGUCGCCGAGCACCUUUUUCACGAUGUUCUCCGUCCAGUCGUCGGCCUCUGCGCCCUGCUUGGCGAUAUCAUUCAUUAUCUCAUCGGGGUCGUGAUGCAUCGCUUUCAAUUGAUCCGCUGCCGAGGGCCCGGUCGCCAAUAGCUCCACGGUAAAUCCUCCGGAGCUCCCGGCCGUGCUAUCCACCCGAACCAAAGUCGGCCCACCGAACAGAUUGUGCUUGCAUCCCAGUGGCUCCUGGUACGCUCCCGCCAGGAAGGUCCCGAUAUAGUACCCGCCGCCACUUUGUUCCAAGGCAUGGAGGGGGAGAGUCAGGGCCUCGCCAAUGAACUGGUCGAUCUUGCCGUCGCUGUCGCAUGUGAGGUCGAUGAGCGUGCCCUUCUGCGUCGGCUGCUCAUUCAGCCGGUGUAUCGGCAGGAUCGGGAAAAGCUGCUUGAUACCCCAGAAGUCCGGCGUGAGCGAGAAGACCGACAGGUUCGCGUGGUACGAGUAGGUCGUCUCCCCGGCUGCCUCCAGCUGCUUCGCCAGACGCCUGCUGAGCUUGAAGAUCUCGACCCCGUGCUUCUUGAGCUGGUCUGCGUGUGCUCUGGAAGUGUUGUUGUUGCUGUCCCUUGAUCGGACGGCGGAUUUGAGGUUGGCGUGAAGCUUCGUCGGGUUUCCGACGAGCUCGUCCAGGCGGCUGAUUAAUUCGUCGGAUGAGACCGAGUCGCUGGGAUCCUCCACGACCGACAGUGCAUCGUAUAUCAGGAUGGAGUGGUGGGACGCGAGGGCGCGGCCACUCUCGCUGCACAGCACCGGAUGCUGCACACCAUUCUGGUUGCACACGAGCUUCGCAGCCUGCACCACCGCCGACGCAUAUUCUUCAAAGCCGUACGCCACCGACAUGUCUGAGGACCCCGACCGCGUCCCAUCAUAGUCGAUCCCGAGCCCCCCGCCGAUGUCGAGGGUGCCCAUCGGUGCCCCCAUCUUCACCAGGUUGCAGUAGUACCUGUUCAAUACGAAAAUAGUGAAAUACUGCUAUAUAAUAGUUUAAGCUUUUUGAAUAUGAACAGUCAUUUCGCCAUACCCGGAAGCCUCGCGCACUGCACUGCUGAGAAUGGAUGUGGUGGGGAUUUGCGACCCGAUGUGGAAGUGAAGUAGUUUGAGGCAAUCGAGCAUGCCGAGUUGUUCUAGCUUCUUUGCAACGGCAUAGAUUUGGGCCUCCAAAAGCCCGAACUUGCCGUGCUUGCCCGAGGUGGACCCGAAGUGGCCCGGGUUGGUGGUGAGCAGCCUCGCACGGAUGCCGAGCACGGGGCGGAUAUUGAGCUUCUUGCUCGCCGCCACCACCGUGUCGACCUCAUCCUCCAACUCGAGCACGAUGAUUGUGUUGAGUUUGAUGGUGCGCGCCACGAGGGCGAGGGAGAUGUAGUCCAUGUCCUUGUAGCCGUUGCACACCAGGUACGCCUCCGGGCUUCCGUUGAUAAGGCUGUGCAUGGCGAGGAGGAGCUCCGGUUUCGACCCGGCCUCGAGUCCGAAGUUGUAGUAGUGGUCUUCCCCAAAUUUGACCACGUGGCCCUUCCCAAAAUUGACCAGGUUGUCCACUACGUCCUUGUUCUGAUUCACCUGUUCGAUAUGAAAUAGUGUUAUAUACAUCAUUCUUUAGCGACUUAAUUAUUUUUUGAUAUAAUCAGUCAUUUUAUAUACUACCAUUUAAGAAAUAAUUAUGGAGAAAAUAGUUUCUAUUAUACAGGUUCUCCUUCUCUCAUUUAACGAAUUAUAUAUAUAGACUAUCAUUCUAUGUUUUAUAGUCCGAAACGAAAUAAAUAAGAAAAAAUGAUAUCUGAUCAAGCGAGUUAGCUCCUGGUUUAAACUUCUAGAGUAAUUUAUUUGUUCUAAUUGGUGCACCUUCACGGGAAACACCCCCUGAUAGUGGGAGUUGUAGCCCGUAUACUGAAUGGCAUUAAUGAACGCAGUAUAGAGCGAGUCCAAACGGUGCUUUAGCACGUCCGGGAAGCGGAGGAUGAGCGGGAACUGGAGAUUCUUCGCAGUCGCGGCCUUCACCGCUGCGAGGAGAUCAAUCUCCUGCUCAGAGGUGGUCUCAACGCCGUUAGUCUUAACGGAGAUGUUUCCGCUAGAGUUAACGGCGAAGUAAGGGUCGCCCCAUCCCUCAAUAUUGUAGAGGUAACCAUAGUUGGUCGACAUUAUUAAAUGCCUCUCCUCCCUACACGAAGAGUUUGCUAAUAAAAACUAGGCUUUAGUUUCGCAGUGAGUAGUGCAUGAGAGGGGGUGUGUAAGGGAGGGGCCCUUUAUAUAGGCGCGCUCCAAGAUACCACCAGGCGAGAUAAUUUCUCUCCUUUAUUAAUUUUCAACGAUCGAGAUCUCUUCUGUGGAUUUGCUACAGAUUGAACGGACGGGAUCUGUUUAUAGUGCGUUGUGUGGCCUGCGUUCUAUCGUCGGUUUGAUUACAACACCAACGUCCGAUUUGUUCAAGCAAAGUAAUUUUCGGUCAUAGACGAAUAUUAGAGUUGAGCUGGAAUACUGUUAAUAGUAUUUAAAAUUUUUUAUUAUCUAUUUUUAAGUCAUUAGAUUUAUACUUCAAUCAAUUAUACCAUUUAAAUCAUACCAUUCAACUAAUUAGACGCUUAAUGUUAGAGGAACUACCAGUAAACCUUAAUAGACCAUUAUCAUUCUAACCUCACAAUUUUUCAUACAAAAGUUAAAAACUCGAUAACAAUAAAAUCCAAAUACUUUCAAUAAUAUUCCAGACCAAUUCUGAAAACUAUAUGUGAAUCAAAUUUACAAUAAUAUAAUUAAAUUCAAAUUUUGAAUUUUUUAAAUAUCAUUACUUUGACUUCAUCCCACUUGGAGGCGAAAUCAAUUACAGAAAAAAAAUGUGCAAAAAAAUAUAUAGUAAAAGAAAAAAAAAAAGAGAUUUUGUAUAUUAUACUUUGAGUCCGGCUGGGAUACUAUCGAUAGCACCAAAUAUUUGAUGCUAUCAAGUUUUUCACUAUUAGAUUUAAUUCUUUGACUAUUUUCUAGAUUAUCUUAUUCAACCAAUAACUUACUCAACCUUAGAAGAUCCACAUCAUUCUAACCAAAUAUUUUUUUUCACCUAAGGGCCGAAAAUCUAAUAGCAUCAAUAGCUUGGUGCUAUUGAUAACAUUACAGUCUAGGUCCUAUAUUUUAUUGAAUUGCAAUUUAUUAUUUAUUAACUUAUAUAAAAACUAAAAAAAUAUUUUAUAUUUUCAAUUUUUUACCAAACAAAUUGUAGAAUUGAGAGGAUUUUAUUUUCACAAUCAUAAAAAUAAGCAAAAAAAAAAUACUUUUAUUUAAAUUUAAAUUUAAAUUCUACAUCCAUUUAAAAUUCAGCUUGGACGGAACAAACAUGUCUAUAGUAGGAAAAAUUUUAGAAUGCAACAGGUAUAUUAGUGACGUGGCGUAAUAAAUCUAUCAAAUUGCUCUAUUUAGGUGUAUAUAUUCCAUCAUAAUUAUAAAAAAAUAUUUUUAUUAUAUUUUUAUUUAAAAUAAAAAUAUAAUUAAUUUGUUAUUAAUAAUAUGGUGCCAGUAUCACAGUGUAGAAUUCCUCCCCCAGAAGCCGCGCAAUUACACGGAGAAGGAGAAACGAGCAAGGGCGCGCUUUUUACACUUCUGCGCAAUUAUUACAGAAAAGGACAAGGCGCGCGCUUUUUACGUUUUCCGUCACGUGUUUGUGGUCGCGCCACGUCCCUAAAGUGGAUUCCCCCCGCAGAUGUUUACGCGCAUAAAAUAGACGCAUUACUUAACGUUUUGGGCCGUGUUGCUAUUUGGGCCACAUUGUCUGAUGAGAAAAUAAUUACGGUUUGGUUAACCUACAAUGAUAUUAACUAGAUCAACUUCGAUUUGCCGCUUUUCUUAUUAGGUGCUGUUUGGUUCUACGCAAGACUGUAAAAAAAAAAAAAAAAUUGAUGAAAAAAAUUUUCGGAGAAAAUUAUAUUGUGCUUCGUAAUAUUUGGUUUGUAGAAAAUGAAAAAUAAUCUUCAAUCACAUAUUGACCUAGGGAUAUAUUUUUUAGACACUUUUAUAUAAGUGCUUCAUUUAUGUCAAAAUUUUUUUAAAAAAUCUAUUAAGGGCUAAAUAUAAAACUCAAUCCAAUAAAAAAUAAAAAAAUUCUCUACUCAACCAACCACAUUUAGUCAACUCGGCCCGAUUACAAAAAAAAAGAAAAAGAAAAAUUGAUCAACAUCUCUCCCUUCUCCUCCUCCGCCGCCACAACUGACGAGAUAGGGUUCCGACAACUCGAGUUUGGCCGCGAGAAUCUAACAGAGACUAGAGAGGGUUACGAUCACCACGUAUCUUUUCGCCACAGAUCACAGAAAAAGUGGGUGCCAAAUAUCAAGGCGGCCCUAUCUAUACCGACCCCACAUAUAGCAAUAUUUUUAAAAUGUUUCGGUAAUUCAGCCAGCAACACUUUUUAACCUAUACCGAUAUUUAAAAUUGUCGAUAAUUCAGCCAGUAGAUGUUUGGUUGAACGAAAAAGAAAGAAAAAAUAAAUAAAAAAUUAUUAUAUGUAUUUUCUUAUGUUAUAUAUAUUAUAUAUUAUUAACAUAUAAUAAUUAUUACAAUAUAUUUAAUUAUUAUAAUUUAUAUUUAGAAAAAACUUCAAACCCGCUCUAUGGUUUCGCACUUUUUCACUUUAGUACGUUGUGGUUUAAAGUGUAUCAAUUUGGUGUCCUGUGGUUUCAUUUUUAUCUUUUCGGCAGCUUUUCGUUUAUAUUUCGUUAAAUUAUAUACAGAAAACUUCAUAUAUCAAACUAGGUUUCUCGAAUAUUUAUUUUAGCACCCUUUAAUUUUAAUUUUGUUACUGAUUUAAAAAAAUAGUGAAUUGAUAAUAAAAAAAGAAAAAUAAAACCACAUGACGCUAAAUUAAUACACUUUAAACCACAUGAUACUAAAGUGAAAAUGUGCGAAACCACAGGGAAUUUUUUAAAAUUUUUUCUUAUAUUUAUAAAUAAAAUAUUAUAUAAUAGUGUAUUUAUAUAAAAAAUAAAAUAAAACUAUAUAUAUAUAUAUAUAUAUAUAUCAAAGAAGGAGAGAGAGGUCCGAAGCCCACCUCAUGGACCGCGUGCAAAAAGUCAAAUGAGCCCCGUGUAUUCUAUCGUAGUUUUUCGUUUCCGCUCCAUAAACUGAAAUAUUUAGGCGUAUUUGUAAAAAAAAAUUUCGAGAAAAUUUUUUUACGGACAAGCAAACAUCAAAAAAUUAUUUUUCAACUGAAAAUUUAUUUUCAGAGUAAUUUUCUAGAGAACCAAAGACACCCUUAGCGUAUUUUUAUUUUACCAUUCUUUACUUCAAAAGGUUACGCUUAAUUAUUCGUUUAUUUUUUUUAUUUUAUCUAAAAAACUUACCAUCAAAGAGAGUAGUAAAGUGAGAUUUUUAUAGAAUCACAAAGUGACAUCCUAUUUCACGAUAGAUUAUUACAAUAAAAUAAAAAUAAAAUUAUCGAAUGGUUAAAUAUAAUUUUUCAAACUAUAGAAUAAUAAAAUAAAAAUACAUUAAACCAUCGGUAUUAAAUAUAACUUUCUAAACGAUAGGAUGCUGAAGUAAAAAAUGCGCUAAAUUACAAUGGGAUAAAUUAAAGCGUAUCCUUAUUUUCUAUCACAAGAUCAUAUUCGUUGAGUUUGCUAUGAUUUUUAUCUCAUGAUCAUUGUAGCGACUCUCUUUACAUGAAAAUAAAAAAUGCACCACAUAGAAUUUACUUUAAACCACUUAUAUGCCAUAUGAGAUGAUAGAUAGCCUAAAUAGAGAUAAUAGGAUAAUUUUAUAUUAAAAUGAUGCUCUAUACUUUUCUAUAAUAUUGAGGCAUUUGAUCAAAUGGUUGUUGCUAUUCCAAUAUAGAAUAAUUGCGACAAAGCAAACUUUUUUCUAUGGAAAGUCAAUUCUAUGAUUUGACUUAUGUUAUUAAAAGAAUGGUUGCACUAUGUGAUAUUUAAAAGAGCAUUAUAAUUUUUACGAUCUAAAAUGCAUGUAAAUUUUAUACUUUAUUCAUUCAAAGUUUAUUUUAACCUCAGUAGUCUUUUUUUUUUUUAGUAUUAAAAAUUUACAAUGAUUGUUUCAAUUCAUAAGACGGUGGGGGCGCAGAAUUUAUAUACACUCCUAAAGAAGUGUUUAAUUAAGUAGUAUGUCCCUAUUUAAAACAACUAAUAAUGUUUAUUGAAUUUAGUUAAAGUCGAGAAUAAUCAAUAAUUAUUAUUUGAGGAUAAAGCUAUUCGUAUGUACUAUCAAUUGCAAUCAUCAAAUCAAAUAGUAACUUUUUGGUACAAAAAUUAUUUUAGAUUAAUUUAAUUUGAUAACUAAGAAUGAAGAAUGUAUUGAAUAGAAAGUAUCUAGAUUUUUCUUACAACAAGUCAUAUGAGGAACUAACUGCAUCUUACACAGUUAGCUAAAAGCUUAAUAGUUGGUAUCAAAAGUACUAAAUUUGAAGUCUAAUUAUUUCACAUUUUUAAUUUUUUUAAAAAAUAAAUAAAGCGUGUAGCUUGCUACUCCUCUUUCUCUGUCCCUCUCUCUUUCUCUCUCUCUAAAAAAAAAAAGCUUUUUUGUGGUCUUUUCUAAAAGAAUUUAGCUAGAUUUGGACAACCGUGGGGGAGCGGCUUGACUCUUGAGAGUUGAUUUUCAUUUUUUGGGUAAACUUCUAAUUGCCUUCAUGUGUAAUUUUCUUUUUUAUUUUUAUUUUUAUUUUUAUUUUUAAGAGGUAGGUAGCACGCUACCUGCUUCGUUUAUUUCAUUUAGAAAUAAACUUAGCUGGAAAUGUGAAUCAACUAGGAUUUGAACUUGGGUCUCGGGUACCAACCACCAAGCCCUUUGCCAUUUGCUCUAGGGACGUGUAAUUUGCACUUUGUGCUCUGUUAUUAAAAUGUUUCACUUUGCCUUGUUAUGGUUUAGUUCAUUUCAUUUUUUGCAUCUCGUCGUUCAAAAAUUUGGUUUAGCAUAUUGUUUACUUUACUAUCUCGUGGUUUUCAAAUAUUUUACUUUAGCAUUCUAUUUGCCAUUGAUAUUUUUUUGGUAAAGUAAAAUAUUAAAUAGAAAGAGCACAAAGUGCAAAUCUUUCAACCAGGUAAUGUCAAAGUAAAAAAACGCUAUAUCACAUGGUAUAAUUUGAAGUUAUCCGCCUCUUUCCAAAAAUAAACAUCUCUUCCCUUAUUAGUCUUUAAAUCAGUAAUUCGACGGUCAAAUGAAGCAGCAGUUAAGCUAGAUUUUUUUUUCAUUUUUAAUGAAUGGCUACUUUGAUGCAAAAAUUGUUUGCUGUUGAUUAUACAUAAAAAUUGAUUUUAUCGAACCGAUUUAAUUGACCGCAAAUCUCAACGUAAGUAGUACAAAAAAAAAUCUUCAAAAUGACAUAGACUACAUGUUAAUAAACCAAGUCUAGAAUAUACCAGUUAUAUUGAUGAUGUGGCGUGCCUAACUAAUCAAAUUGUUUUCGUUUGGUUCACUCGUUCCAUCAUAAUUAUUUAGAAAAAUAUUUUUAUUCUGUUUUAUUUUUUAAAAUAUAAUUAAUUACUUAUUGAUGUUGUGGUAUAAGUGAUAUAUAGUAGACCUUCAACCUUACCUUAGAAAGGUUAACGACAAGGGCAAAGUUUUGGAAUCUUUCUUUCAAUCGGGAGAAAAGGAAAGAAAAAAAAGCUUAGAAAAUUAUUGAUGUAGAGUUUCUAAAAUAUCACUUUUAUGCAAGGUUAAUAUGUAUGUUAAACCUGUAGUAUACAAAAUUGGCAACAUGCUCUGUCCUAAAUAAAUUUAAUUUUUUUUACAAAUAUUGACACGACAUUUAUUAAUUUUCUCUUAUUGUUAUAGUUAUCUUUCUACCAUAAAUUAAACUUUUGCCUUAAUGAAGUAAUUGCAAGUGUUAGUAUGUUUAUGCUAACACUUGGUUUGUUAGUAUAUGUACAUAAAAACACUUGGUACUUCAAUAGUAUCAAGCAUUAAUUUGAUGCUAUCAAUUUUUUCACUAUUAAAUCUAUUAAUUUAAUCAUGUAAUGAUUUUUAUUUUUUAGAUUAUAUUAUUUUACCAACAAUCACUAAAUUUGAAAUAGACCGCUAUUGUCUCAGCCCUACAAUCUUUUAUUCAAUGACUGAAAAUUUACAAAUGCUAAUAACUUAGUGUUAUUAUAAAUAUUUAAACCUAAUUCUAUAAAGUGAGAAUGAGACUAAAAUACUAUUAAUAGUAAAAAAAAAUAAUAUUUACUGUUAAAAUUUUAUUUCCGAAAUAAUUACUAUUUUAUCUAAAUUUUAUUUAGUUCUGCUUAUUUUAAAAUAAAUAUAAAUAAAAAAAAAACACGUGCUAUGAAAUUUCAGUGGUCCACGAAGUUACCCGCGGUACAUAUAUUAACACACUAACGGUCCGCAUCUUUCAGAUCGAAUUGCAGGGGACAGCUGUUAGACGUCCACGUGUCACCCUCACAAUCAUCAUAGAUUAGCGUUACACCUUAGAUUUUUUUCCAUUUUCGCGUGGUCGUCCAUCCCGGGAUAAAUGAUACAUAGUAUCUUCUAUCAAUCAUAUUUAAACUUAAAAAUUCACUCAAAAUAUAUUUUUAUUAUAUAUAUAUAUAUAUAUAUAUAUUUAAAAAAAGAUGAUGAUAAGAUAUAAGCAAGACUUUUUUUAGAAUACUCAUCUCAUCAUAUUUUUUUUAAAAAAUUAUUAUAGUUAUUUAUAAAGUAAAAAAUUUAACUAGUUUCUGACAGAUAUAAAUAUCAUAUUAGACCAUAUUAUAUAGUAAAAUAAAUAAAUAAAUUGCAACAGUCAUAUAUCUGAAGUGGUCUCCGCGGCCAAAUGUGUAAGGUUCACACAUCACAUUAGAAUUUUUUAAAAAUAUUUUAUUUACAAAAAAAAUAAUUAAUUAAAUAUAAAUGAUAUGAUAUGACAAUCGAAUAAUAAAUUUUCUCGUAUAGCAUGCAGGAUCAAAAACUUUUUGAUGGUUGGGGCCAUCUCUUAUCUACAAAGAUGAAAGGAAAGGUGGAAAAUUAAAGACCACAAUGUACGGAAGUGCAGUAGAUGGACCACUAUUUAUUGUCGUUAAAAUGUAUCUAGAUCCCUCAAUUAUUGGUUAUUUCAAACUCGAGCCCCCAAAACAUGGCAUGAGAUAGCUAAUAAAAAUUCUCUGUAUCAUGUCUAUUAAUGCAUUAAAUAGUUAAAGAUAACAUUUUGGAGAUUUGUAACAAUUGUACUCAACAAGUUUUCUUGUGCUUGACGUCUCAUUGCUAAUUUCUUUUAUUUUCUUUAAACAGCUCUCCAUCGCUCUUAUCAUUUUUUUUGUUUGCUAUUAGUAAUUGAUGGUGGUUAACAAAUUUUUUUAAAAUAAUUUUAAUAUAAUCAAUUUAUUAUUAAAUUAUAAAUGCAUAAAUAGUUUGAAUUAAAAUAAAUAAAAAAAGUGAAAAAUCUGAAGGAUAAUAAUUGGAGCAGCGACUUCAAAAUGGCUUAUGAUUGAGGGGUUCAUGUACAUUUUCACCUAAAUUAUUAUUCCGCGAGAAGUUUCGCUUGAAGUAUAUAAAUGUCGUAUAUGAUAAAGGAUUACGAUGCCGAUUCUUCGAAAAGGACGAGGCUUCCUCCACGUCAAUGUGGCGUUGAAUAAUAUAUAUAUAUAUAUAUAUAUAUAUAUAUAUAUAUAUAUAUAUAGAAUGAUAGUGGUCUCCUGUUAAAUUAAUAAUGGUCCCCUAGGGUUGAGUGGGUGGUUGGUUUAAUAAUAUAAUCUAACAGGUGAAAAUAAUCAAAAGGUAAAUCUAACAUUAAAAAACUCAAUAGUAUCAAGAACUUAGUACUAUCGAUAGUAUAGUAGCCGGGUUUAUAUAUAUAUAUAUAUAUAUUUUACCGUUAGAUCUACUCCUCGGAUCAUUUUCAACCAUUAGAUUAUACCAUUCAACCAACCACCCACUAAAUCCUAGGAGGCCCACAUCAUCUUAACCGCAUAUCUUUUAAUCUAAUGGCUAAAAAUCUACAAGCACUAAUAACUUGGUAUUUUUAAAAACAUAGGAGCUCAAUUAUAUAUAUAUAUAUAUAUAUAUAUAUAGAGCAGUGGUCUCCAAGCAACAGUGAAUGAUCGUUCAAGGAAAAAAAAAAACGUGGCCUAAUUAAUGAGAUAAUAAUGUCACACCAUGUCAGCAAUAUAUAGCUAAUUAAAUAUAUAUUUUUUAACAAAUAAAAUUAAUUAUUAGGGAAUGAGUUAAUUUAAGAGACAGUUGUGAUUGGUAGGGCUACGCGUAGAUAUGUGACCGACAAAGUUUAGAUUUUUUCCAUCAACUAUCAACUUUAUUUUUCCAUUUUAAGCUUACAAUAUAAAUGGUUUUUCCAUAGGUCCUUUUGGCCCAGCUUUAAUUAUAUAUAACAAUUCUUAAAAAUUAUUAAUAUCAAUACCUUUCAAAUUAAAAAAAUAAUCUAAACUAUCCAUAUUACUAAUAUUUCAUUUUAAAUAUGGCUUAAUUACCUCUUUUACUUAUCUUACCCAUUUAAUUGUUGUAAUAUACGUUAUAAUCAAGAAAAUAUGUAUUUAUUAUUAGUACUUUUAUAUAUAGUUUCGCUUUGUUAUCUAACAUGUCUUCAUUUUGAUUAUUUUAGUAUCUUUUAAUUUUUUUUUAUAUAUUUAGUAUAUUUUCAUUUUAUUUGUCUAAUUAUGACCGGAAGAAUUAAAUACUUCGUUUGUUAGAUUUAUUUCUAAACCUUUAGAUUAUUCUAGAUGUAAUUUUAGCUUAGAUUUAUAUUAUUUUACAUUUAUUUCUUAUUUAAUUUUUUUUAUCUUUGAUUUGUUUCGUAUAUACUACUUUGCGUCAACUAAAAAAAAAAAGGCUACACUGAUCGUCCUUAGAAUAAGGGGCAAAGGGCUUGGUGGUUGGUAUUUGAGAUCCCAAGUUCGAAUCCUAGUUGAUUCACAUUUUCAGCUAAAUUAUUUCUAAAUGAAAUAAACGAAGCGAGUAGUGUGCUACGUAUCUCUCCAAAAAAAAAAAAGAAAAAAAAGGCUAUUCUAAGUGAUGUUAAUUAAUUAUUGUGAGGGUUAACAUGAUAACAUAAUUAGGUUAUAGGGAUACACGUUUGUGAUACUUUUGUGUAAAUGUCCCAUUUAUAUCAAAACUUAAAAAAAUCUACUUUUGCCAAACUAUAAAACUCAAUCCAACCAAAAAUAAAAGGUUACUCUACUCAACCCACCCCACCUAGUCCAUUCGGCCCGAUUACAAACAUAAAAGAAAAAAAAAAAGGAAAAAUCGAUUAUUAUUUCCCCUUCUCCCCUCACUCAAUUCACUGAAAUCCUAAACAAAGAGCCCUUUCCUCUCCUCCUCCUCCGCCAUAGCAACCAAUGAGGUAGAGUUCCGGCGGUUGCUAAAUAUUUAAAUAAAUUUUGGUAAAUUAGCAUUACUCUUUUUAAUUUAUAGCGACACUUUUUAAUUGUCACUAUAUACCUAGCGACUCCACAUAUAACAACAUUUUUUAAAAUGGUCGGUAAUUUAGCCAGCAUCACUUUUUUUGACCUGUACCGAUAUUUAAAAGUGUCGCUAUAGACCAUUUUUUUUGUCGUGAGUAGGUCAUUUUAUAGUUAAACUUAAGCAAAACUGACAAAAUGAAAAUUUAAGAUAUAAUCUAUGUAUAUAUAGGAGUAAUAUUAAUAUUGACGGCUUUAAAGGAGUAUCUUUAUUACUUCUUAAAUUUUGAGGGACACAUCUGAAAUUGCUCCCAUAACAAAAAGAAAUAAGUAAGUAAUAUUUACAUAUUUUCAAGGUUAACGAAAUUUGGUUGAUGAAUCAAAUCUGAGACAUGCAUGGUAUUUGAAUAGGAUGCCAAGUUAUAGAUAUUUUAAUAUAGAAAUGUAAUGCAUGGUUACUAGAUGAAACAUCCUUCGAUUGAGAGUACUACAGUUCUAACCAUCAAGCAUAAGUGCUUAGUGAUAUCCAAACAAAUGACUGAUAACAUAACUUGGCAACUUAGUGCCAGAAAGAAAAUUUGGUGGAAACGAUUACUAACAUGAUGCUAUAUUAUACAGUAUUCAUACAAUUUUGAGAUUCGUGUUAUUCACACUAUAAAUGAUAAAUGAAAUGAUUUUACUUUGGAGACAGUCCUAAUCGUACAAAUUUUUGUUCUCCAUAACGCUUUGGAUGUGCUGUUUUGUUCAUACUUUGAUAUUUUGCCUAGUGAAUGCGGCUAGUUGGGAUUUGCAGCUUAGCAUCUCGACUUGUUUUCUAAAAAACCACCCCUUCCUGAGUAAUAUAUAUUAUAUUACUUAUGCAAAGUCUAGAGAUACAGUCUGUUUGGCCUAGCUUUCGAGAUUUAUUUUUACUGAAGUGAUUUUGAUUUACUGAAUUGAUUUUGAUUUACUAUAGAGCAUUUGACAGUCAAAAAGGAAAGCAAUUUUUUUGAAAUAAUUUUAUAACAUAGCUAGCAAUAAUGGAACUAACAUAAGGGCCAUAAUUUACCACUCUCUCUUCGGCCUAGCCCGACCUAUGUGUCAAAAGACUCAAAACCAGUUCAUGGCGACCCAUUUGGACCGUCACAUUCCAAACUUGAAUGGUUGAACUACAAUCUGCACAAUAUAAUGUUAGGUUGUAUGUGCCACAUUGCACAAAUUAUAUGUUACUUGACUCGUCGAAUUGUCACUUGUAAUUUAGAGUAGGAACCCUAAUCAAAAUGAUACGAUUUUCGCAAAAAUUGUGGAGAACUUAGCAACCUAAAAUGAUUGAAAUUUUGGAACUUAAUUACUUUUAUCGCUGGGACCAUCUUAUCUACAAAGACCGAAGGAAGGGUAGGAAAUUUGAGACCACAAUGUACAGAAGAUAAAUGCCGCGUGGCAUUGUAGUAGAUGGACCACUAUUUAUUAAUUAUUUUUUUUUAAAAAAAAUAUAGUAUGCUACCUAUUUUAUUCAUUUAGCAAAUAAAUUUGACAAUGAAGAUUGAAGCAACGCUGCCUCGAAAAAUAUUAAAGGUGACCAAAUCAGAAAAUACAAAUAAAAGCAAACAAAAAAAAUCAUAGAAAAAUUGCUAAUUCGAAAAAAUUUAUUGAGAUCGCUCACUUAUUGGUUAUUCCAACCGAGAACCCUCAAAACAUGACAUGAGCAGCUAACCAAAAAUCUCUUAAUCACAUAUAUUAAUGCAUUAAAUAGUUAAAGAAAAUAUUUUGAAGAUUUGUAACAACAGUGCUCAACUAUUUCCCUUCCUAUCGACGACUCAUUGUUGGAAUUAAUUUCUUUUGUGCUUUUGCUAUUAGUAAUUGAGGGGUAACAAAAUAUACAUUUCAUUAGCUAAAAUAGCAUUUAAAAUAAUUCAAACUUAAUCAAUUUAUUAUUAAAUUAUAAAUACAUCUCCAACUUAAAUGAUUAAAAUAGUUUAAAGAAUUUAAAUAAAAAAAAACUACAAAUCUGAAGAGUAAUAAUUGGAGCAGGGACUUUAAAUUAAAUUGCUUAUGAUUGAGGGGUUCAUGUACAUUUUCACCUAAAUUAUUAUACCGCGUGAUGUUUCGCUCGACGUAUAUAUAUAAAUGUCGUAUAUGAUAAAGGAUUACGAUGCCUAUUCUUCGAAAAUAAAGGACGAUGCUUCCUCCACGUCAAUGUGGCGUUGAAUUAAUAUCCAUAAAUGUACAGCAGUGGUCUCAAUGCAACAGUGAAUGACGUUCAAGGAAAAAUAAAACGUGGCCUAAUCAAUGAAAUAAUGUCACACCACGUCAAUAUAUAAUGAAUUAAAUAUAUUUUUAAAAAUAAGAACAUAAUAAAGAUUCUUUUUUAUUAAUCAUUAUGGAACGAGUUAAUUUUAGGACUAUAUGGUUUAGAAUUUUUGCAUCAACUACUCACUUUUUUUAUUUUAAUGAAACUCUUCUAACUUCUUUUUUUUUUUUCCAUUUUAAGCUUACAAUAUAAAUGGUUUUUCCAUAGGUCUUUUUUGCCCUCUCAUUAUAUAAUAAUUCUUAAAAAUUAUUAAUAUCAAAAAUACCUUUCAAAUUAAAAAAAUUGUGGAAACUAUCCAUAUUACUAAUAUUUCAUCCAAAUAUGGCUUAAGCACUUGUUUUACUCCUCUUACCCAUUCAAUUAUUGUAAUAUAUAUAUUAUGACCAAGAUAAUAUGUAUUUAUUAUUUGUACAUUUCUGAUGUAGCUUUGUUAUCUAACAUGUCUAAUGAAAAACAUUUUGGUUUAUUUAGUAUUUUUUAAGUUUUUACACAUUAUAUUUUUAUUUUAUUUGUCUUAUUAUGACUGGAAGAAUUAAAUACUUGUUUGUUAGAUUUAUUUCUAAAUCUUUAGCUUAGAUUUAUAUUACUUUACAUUUAUUUCUUACUUUCUUAAUUCUUUGAUUAUUUUCGUAUAUACUACUUUGCAUCAACUAAAUAAAAAGGUUAUCCAGACUAAUGUAAAUUAAAUCAAAAGUUACAAGUCAUAUGUUUUUUUUGAGAGAUGUUACAAGUCAUAUGUUAAUUGAUUAUUGUGAAGGGUUGUUAGUUUUAGGAUUUGAUUAGAUUUAUAGUUAAUUUUUUAGUUAGAUAAAAAUUAAUAUUUAAAUUUAUUGGAGAUAAAUUAAGAUUUAAAUAUUAAUUAUAGUAUAAAUUUAUUUAGAUUAGAAUAAAUAUUUAAAUUUAUUAAAAAUAAACUAAAUAUAAAUUUACAUAUUUAUUGGAGGAGGAUUCCUAAUAUACUAAGAUUGAGCUACGCUUUCUUUUUUUUUUUUUGAGAAAGAGGUAGCACGCUACCCGCUUCAUUCAUUAAAUAAAUGAAUUAAGCUACAGGAGUGGGACAUCCAGGCCCCGGAGGAAAAAAAAAAAAAAAAAAACCCACAGGGUUAAGGGUUUAAGGUUUAGGAUUUAGGAUCGAGUCCCACUCUUUCAGAAGAAGCUUGAGCCUGUUAACCUCUAGCAAAGGGUCCGGAAGAAUGUUUCUAAAAAUAGUGUUGUUUCUGACCUUCCAAAUAAUCCACCAAUGGCCUAUAAGGUCGGUAAGCUUGGUUCGCUUCUUUUGGAGGUCCGUUCUGGCCAUCCACCAAUCCCAAACGAGGUUCACGCCAUCCCCCAGGUCUUGGACCACGAUAUCAUCCACCCCUACCACUAUGAUAUACUUGCUGAAGACGCACAGGGUGAACAAGUGGUCCACUAUUUCCAUGUCCGAUCCACAUAGCACACAGGUAGGGUCGUCAAUCCAACCUCUAUUAAGAUUGAGCUACGCAUUAGUUGAAGAGAGUACAGCCAAGUAGAAGUCCUUGGGAGUUGUACGGGUGAGGUGUAUUGAUCUUGGGUGUCCGUACCACACAGAGGGAGCUUAGGCUAUGGUUGCAUGCACCUAGUGCAUAGGUGUAUAUAAUAGAGAAAAUGAUAGAGUAGUCUUUAAGAGAGCUUGGGUUUGAAGCUACUCUGAUACAGAGGAGAAUUCAGAUAUAAUCUUCUCUUAUAUAGUGAAUUUUAUUUUAUCUACAUAUUUUUUGUUGGUUUUCUCUUGUUUAUAAUUGUAUCAGUUUUUGCUAAAGAGGGGAUUUAUGAUAGAAAUUCGAUUUGACGCUUCCGUUGCGGAAUUCCAACAAUUGAUACCGGAUCAAUAAUAGUCAGUAUCGGAGCGGGUUGCGGAUUCUUAAAAUCUGGUAUCAGGACGAGUAUCGGAUUUCCAAUAAUUAGGUUAUUUUAUAAUUAAGUAAACUUAAGCAAAACUGAUGAAAAAAAAUUUACGACAUAAUCUAUGUAAAUAUAGGAGUAAUAUUAAUAUUGACGGCUUUAAAAGAGUAUCGAUAAUAUUUUUAAAUAUUGAGGGGCAUGAUUUGAAAUUGCUCCAAUAAUAAUAAAAAAAAAAUAAUUAGAUAAUAUUUUACAUAUAUCGAAGGUUAACGAACUUUAGUUGACGAAUCAAAUCUGACACAUUCAUGUUAUUUGAAUAGGAUGCCAAGUUAUAGAUAUUUUAAUGUAGAACGUAAUGGUUACUAGAUGAAGCAUCCUUCGAAUCAGAGUACUACAGUGCUAACCAUCAAGCACAAGUACGCUUACUGAGAUCCAAACAAAUGGUUGAUAAUAUCACUUGACAACUUAGCACCAGAAACAAAAUUUGGAGGAAACAAUUACUAACAUAAUACAAUCCUUUAUAACGUUCAUACAAUUUUGAGGUUUGUGUCAUUUACACUAUAAAUGACAAAUAAAACGGUCUUGCUUUGGAGACAGUUCUAAUCGUACAAAUUUUUGUUUCUCAUAACGCUCUGGAUGUGCUAUUCAUACUUUGAUACUUUGCCGAGUGAAUGCGGCUAGCUGGAAUUUGCAACUUUGCAUCUCCACUUGUUUUCUAAAAAACCAUCCCUUCUCGAGUAAUAUAUAUUAUAUUACUUAUGCAAAGUCUAGAGAUAUAGAGUCUAUUUGGCCUAACUUUCGAGAUAUUAUUUUUACUGAAGUGAUUUUGAUUUACUCUAGAGCAUUUGACAGUCGGAAAGAAAAGUAAUUUUUUUAAAAUAAUUUUAUAACAUAGCUAGCAAUAAUGGAACUAACAUACGGGCCAUAAUUUACCACUCUCUCUUCGGCCUAGCCCGACCUAUGUGUCAAAACCAGUUCAUGGCGGUCCAUUUGGGCCGUCACAUUCCACACUUUGAAUGGUUGAACUACAACCUACACAAUAUAAUGUUAGGUUGUAUGUGCCACAUUGCACAAAUUAUAUGUUACUUGACUCGUCGAAUUGGGAAUGGAUUGUCACUCGUCGAAUUGGGAAUGGACUCGUAGGAACCCUAAUCAAAAUGAUACAAUUUUUGCGAAAAUUGAGGAGAACUCGGCAGUUCAGAGGAUUGAGAUUGCUGCAAACGUAUGGCUCUACUGUUUUGUUUCAGAUCAGGGGUUCUAGUGCAUAUAACUAAUGUGAUUCUUUUCUCUUAACAUUUAAUGAAUUUUUGUAAUAUUUUUUAUAUUAUUUGUUCAUUAAUCGCAAAUUUCUGCUUUCUUUUUCAUACAUGUAUUAGAAAAUUUUGGUUGCAUGCAAUACCAAGUCUACAUGCCCAACCAUAUUCCUUGUAGACGUAAUGAAUGCGCACAUACGACACCAAACGAUAAUUAUUAAUGUUAAACAAUGUUUUCUAUACAUUUAUUAUAAAAUAGGAAAAACUUAAAAAACCUCCAUGUAGUUUCACACGUUUAAAGUGUAUCAAGUUAGUACCCUAUGGUUUCUCACUUUAUCACUUUAGUACCAUGUGGUUUAAAGUGGAUCAAGUUAGUACCCUGUGGUUUUGCACUUAGUAUCCUGUGGUUUUACACUAUCACUUUAGUAUCGUAUGAUUUAAAAAAUCACAUGGUACUAACUUGAUACAAAAUUAAAACCAUAGGGUACUAAAGUGAUAAAGUGCAAAACCACAGGGUACUAAUUUGAUACACUUUAAACCAUAGGGUACUAAAGUGAUAAAGUAAGAAACCAUAGAGUACUAAUUAACUUGAUACAUUUUAAACCACAUGGUAUUAAAGUGAAAAAAAUUAAAACCACAAGAGGGGUUUUUGAAGUUUUUCUUAUAAAAUAAGUGUAAGAUGUACUUUCUGGUCUUUCUUUGGCUAAAAUUUAAUUAUCAAUUAAUCUUAUCAACUCUUUUUUUUUUUUUUUUUUGCUUAAUAUGCUAAAAACACCUUCAUCUGAGGUUUAAAGACUUUUUAGAUGCAAGGGCACAAAAUGUACACACUUAUAUGAAAUAUACCACUAAAAUUUUUCUUUUUGUAAAUUUAUGAUUCUAAAUAUUAAAAUUUUGUAUUUUUAUUAACGUGUGUGAUUUUUAUAUAGCCAUCUAUAUCUAUAUAAAUCUAUGAAAGGGCAACCGGUACGCCGCUCUCUCCGCAUUCGGCGGGUUCCGUUGACGGCACGUGAGGAGAGCUGGCGGGGCUCACCGUGGCUCCUGCACGCGGUCCACGACUCAUGGUGGACCGGGUGAGGGAGGGGGUAGUGGACUCCGGCUGUGGGAGAGGGGGUGGUGGGCCCCUCUCUCCCUUUUCGAUCGCGCGUGUGUGUGUGUGUAUAUAUAAAUCUUGGAAUUUUAGCUUUUAUUUUUUUAGAUUUACUUUUGGACGUUAGAUUUAAUUUUUUUAAUCUAAUACAAUGCCGCUUAGGAUUAAUUAUCUUAUUAUGUUAUCAUCUAUUUAGUUUCCUUUUUAAAUUUUCGUAUCUCUUGAUGUCAUCGCAAUAAAUUACUUAAAAUUAAUCCAUCUUAAUUUACAAAAUUUCAUAGUUGAAAAAAAUUAAAUUAAAAACGGUAACUAAUUUGGAACCUAAAAAGAACCUCCCCUUAUUUUGGGGGAUUGUGGUGCCCAUAUCAAUUUUUUAAAAAAUUAAUUGCAGAUUGGGUCUCAAUCUUUUCACGCUAUUUUAUUUUGGUUGCUAAUCUCUCACUACAACAAAAAUGGUCUAUAGCGACACUUUUAAAUAUAGGUAUAUGUCAAAAAAGUGCUGCUAGCUAAAAUUACCGACACUUUUAAAAAGUGUUGCUAUAUGUGGGGUCGCUAGGUAUAUAGUGACAGUUAAAGAGUGUCGCUAUAACCUAAAAGAGUGCUGUUAAUUUAUCAACACUUAUUUAAGUAUUUAGCAACCGCCAAAACUCUACCUCGUUGGCUACGGUGGCGGAGGAGGACGACAGGAAAGGCUCUUCGUCUAAAAUUUCAGUGGAUUGAAUGAAGAGAGAAGAAAAGAUGGUAAUUGAUUUUUCUUUUUUUUUUCUUUUCUGUUUGUAAUCGGGCCAAAUAGACUGGGUGUGGUGGGUUGAGUAGAGUAAUCUUUUAUUUUUGGUUAGAUUAGGCUUUAUAUUUAGACAGUAGUAAAUGUUUUUUUAAGUUUUAGAAUAAAUGGGACACUUACUCAAAAGUGUCCCAAACAUGUGUCCCUAUAACCUAAUUCUGUUGUAGUGAUCCUACCUCCGAAGAUUUAAAUUUUCUUUAAAAUUUUAAUAUUAAAAAAAUUAGGACUAGUGAAGAAAAGUUAACUCUUGGAAGAUAAAGAUGUAGCAUUGGAUUAAAAUCUCAUUUGGAUUGUAGUAUGGCUUUGAUCAAAAUGAAAAGGGAUUGACUCAACUCUUAAAUGGAGGUCCGUAGAAUUUUAAUCCUUUUUAGAUUGCGGACUUAAAUAUUUCUCUUUCAAGAUCAUUCUCAAUGUCUCAAUCUUACUAUCCAUCAGUGUGUGUGUGUUACUAGUGUGUGUGCGCGCGCGCGCGCGCGCGUGUAUUUCAUAAAAUCCCUCGCGAACCUUUUUCAAUGAAUCUAAACAUAGUUUCAUCCUUAUAAGCCGCGUAUCCACAUCUCUAUAGCUUGAUUAGAGUUGUGCCCCUCUAACAUCACUCGAGGCUAUAUAGUCCUGAUGUUGUACACUGACAAAUUUUAUAUGCCUCCCAACAUUUUGAAAGAUAAAACAAAUAUAAUAAAAAGACAAAAUCUAAAUAGAAUACUCUUUAAUUUUCUAAAAUUUGUUCUAGCAAAAUGUUUAUUAAGAAAAAGAUUUACCUAAAAUCAUAUAAAGAUGGAAACACUACAACAGAAUUAGGUUAUAGAGACACAUAUUUGGGACACUUUUGAAUAAGUGUCUUAUUUAUCCUAAAACUUAAAAAAAUAUCUACUAAUGCCUAAAUAUAAAGCCCAAUCCAACCAAAAAUAAAAGAUUACUCUACUCAACCCACCACACCUAGUCCAUUUGGCCCGAUUACAAACAAAAAAGAAAAUAAAAAGAAAAAUCAAUUAUCAUCUUUUCUUCUCUCUUCACUCAAUCCACUGAAAUUCUAGACGAAGAGCCUUUCCUGUCGUCCUCCUCCGCCACCGCAGCCAACGAGAUAGAGUUUCGGCGGUUGCUAAAUGCUUAAAUAAGUGUUGGUAAAUUAGCAGCACUCUUUUAGGUCAUAGCGACACUCUUUAACUGUCACUAUAUAUCUAGCGACCCCACAUAUAGCAACACUUUUUAAAAGUGUCGAUAAUUUUAGCUAGCAGCACUUUUUUGACAUGUACCUACAUUUAAAAGUGUCGCUAUAGACCGUUUUUGUUGUAGUGGAUCAAAAUCCUUAAAUCAAGGAUUAUAAUUGUACAAUCCUUUUUGGAGUAUUUCUCUUGGAUUUUAUAUUAAAAAAAGGAUUAAAAACAAGUUGAUAGCACAAAUAUACAAAGCUAUUAAUUGGAUGGUACAAGCAGUAAAAUUACAACACAUUUUGGGUUGAAGGGGUAGUAAAAUUACAAAGUUAGGAAGUACCAGGCCAAUCGUAUCUCGACAACACAUUUCUACAACUGUGCUACAACUAUACUCAGAACUAACUAUGUUGGACUUAAUUGCUUCAUGGAUGAGACAAUUCAAGAGGAGGUAGGUAUUUGUCACUAUCAAAAAUACACCACCGAUCGAUAAAUUAUUUCUACUAGUUAAAGACCAAUAAUAAAUGGACUAAACAAAUUUGGUAAUACUAGGAAAAGUAAAUUAUUAUGGAAUCAAGUUGAAACUUAUUAUUUGUUCAACAACAUAAAUUUGUUUCCACCAUUGUCCCUCUUUAAUUAUGUUGGUACCUCAUGUUUACUUAUGAGUGCAGCAAUUAAUAUAACUAACUGUAGGUUUUACAUCAGCAUGCACAACUGAUGCGAUGUUUUCUAACGAUCAGUUUUUUUUUUAAUUUAUUCAUUUUAUUAUAAUUAUUAAAAAAUAUUAUUAUUAUUAUUAUUUUAAAAAAUAUAAUUAAUUAAUUAUUAAUUAUUUGAUAUAAGUGUGAAAUAAUAAAUUUUCUCUCUUCGACGAGAGGAAUAUCAAUAAAUAUGACACGAAAUAUGUAACUAUGUAAGGUCCAAAGGCAUUUAUUUGCUUGGAAUAUGUGGUGAUUUUAUUAUAGGAUAAAUUAUCAUAGCGCAUCCACUUGCCAGUUGCCACGUCCCAUGCAUCUUUGGAUUUUCGUUGUUCAAAAAAAAUAUGUUUUACAAUUUAAAAAUUGAACGAAUAAAAUUGAAAAUAUGAGAUAAAAAUUAUGGAUAAAUGAGGAUCUGCGUAAAAAUGUAAGAUGCAUCGAUCCCAUACGAACAAUAACUUCUCGCAAAGAAUCACCUUCCUUUGUCCUCCUAAUUUUAAUUUUUAUGUUUAAAUUUAAGGAGAAAAUAUUUGAACUUAUAUUGCAAGAAACAGUUGAAUUUUCUGCUUGAAAGCUUUAGUUAUUGAAAAAACAAUUAUUUGUAUUAUUGUAUAAUUAUAAUUUACUAGAUCAAAAGUCUCCAUAUAUUGUUCAAAAGUAUGCGCGUACGCAGAACUUCUUUAAACAUCACUUCGAUAUAAAAUUAUCAUGCACUAAUUAAAUCUUUUGUUAUUUCACAUGGCGUAGUAUAAUUACUUUGAAAUAUAUGGUUAAAUGGUACAACAAAAACUUUCUUUUUUGCAGUAGUGGACUCGGCAUUAACCAUCUCUUUUUAAUUGAAAGCUUUUUCCUAUAGUCAGGUAACUAUUGGUUGGUCAUAAAUUUUUUGUUUCUUGUUUUGUGUAGGUCAUAAAUGAAGUUGAUGGAGUACGUUUCUCUCGUGCCACUAAAGAAUAUUGUUAUCUUUAUUUCCAGUACUUCCACAAAUUUUGCAGUAAGAAAUGUUACUUGCACAUUCAACUUUUAAGCGUAUAUCUUAUAUAUUAAUUCACAGUUCAAAGCAGAGACGGAGCCAGAAAUCAAAUCUUUGGGGGGCCAAAAUUUGGGUUUAGCAAAAAAACAGCCGAUCUCGGAUAGUUAUAAAAGAGUUUGCCAAAUUCACUGAUCAUCUAUUGCUAGCGACAACAACAAUAAUAUGUUUAAAGAGGAGCAUAACUAUAAAAACUGAAGGAAAAAAAACCGAGGGGUUUGGAAAAAGAUUAAGACACGAGUUUUAUUAAAAAAAAAUAAUAAUUUGGCUCUUCUAAAAAUAAAAUUUAUAAUAUUUUAAUUUUUAUUAUAACAGACUUAUAUAUAAUUUAAAAGUUGAGGGAGCCAUAGCCAUUGUAAGUCCCAGUAUUAUUCCGUCCCUAGUUCAAAGGUUCAUAAUAUUCUUUUUGAACUUAAAUAUUAAAUAUAUAAAAGUGUUGGCUCUUGGAUGGUAAGAAUAUAAGAUAUAAAUUCACUUUUAAAUAUAUCUAAUUGGACUGGGCUACUAUUAGUAGCAAAAUUUUAUUGUUGCUAUCAGUUUUUUAGCCUUUGGAUCAACUCUUUUCAUUAUUUCUAACCAUUGGAUUAAAUACUAUAACCCAGUGGGGACCACUCAAUCCUAGAGGGACCACUCAACUCUAACCGACUAAUAUCAUCCUGACCCUAUAAUUUUUCAUCCGAAGGUUAAAUAUUUGAUAGCAAAAAAAGUGUUUUACUAUUAAUAGUAUUCGAGCCUAAUUCUAGAUAUAUCCACACAAACUGAUGAUCGUUGGUCAAGAAAAAGGUCCAAUGUAUGUGCAGCGAUAUAUAAGUUGUGUGAUAAUAAUUUAAAUGUAAUUUAAAGUAAUUUGCAUUUUUUUUUUUUUAAACUUAUGUAUAUACCAAUUGUCUCAUAGUAUCAGAAAAAUUGGCAAACCAACUUCUCAUUCUCAAAGGCAUACACGAGCCUCUCAUCAACCACAUUUUCCCAGACAUUGUGUAAAGAGAGUGGGAGGGGGAAAAAAAGAAAAAAAAAAACGACAUGCAUGAACACACGAAAGUCGGGCCUAACACGACAAGGCCACUUUAUUUAAACACACUAAAUUAACACCGCGUAGGUAACACGUCCUGCAGAUCGCAUGCAUAACGCCGAUCGACCUACAGCUCACCGAAGAGGUAAGGCAUAGUGCCGAACACCUUAGUUACGAGCGUCUGCUCCGUCUCCGUCCAGUGCCCGGUCUCUUUCGCCCGGUCGGCGAUCACCUUCGCCAUCUCAGCGGGGUCGUAAUGCAUCGAUUGCAAUUGAUUCGCGGCGGUGGGCCCGGCCCCAACGAACGCCACGGUGAAUCCCCCGGCACUCCCGGCGCUCUCCACCUGAACCAAGUUCGGCCCGCCGAACAGGUUGUGCUUGUUCCCCAGCGCCUCCUGGUACGCCCCCGCCAGGAACGUGCCGAUGUAGUACCCGCCGCCGCUUUGUUUUACGUCGUGCAGGGGGAGAGUCUGGGCCCCGCCGAUGAACAGGUCGACCUUGCCGUCGCUGUCGCACGUGAGGUCGAGGAGCGUGCCCUUCUGUGUCGGCUUCUCCUGCAGCCGGUGUAUCGGCAUGAUCGGGAACAGCUGCUUGAUCCCCCAGAAGUCCGGCGUGAGCGAGAAGACCGACAGGUUCAUGUGGUACGCGAAGGUCUUCUCCCCGGCCGCCUCCAACUGCUUCGCCAGGCGUCUGCUGAGCUUGAAGAUCUCGACCCCGUGCUUCUUGAGCUGGUCCGCGUGGACUAAGGAGGCGUCAUUGUUGCUGCCGUCCCUCGAUCGGACGGCGGAUUUCAGGUUGGCGUGAAGGGUCGUCGGGUUUCCGACGAGAUCGUCGAGGCGGCUGAUUAAUUCGUCGGAUGUGAGCGAGUCGCUGGGUUCCUCCACGGCCACCAGUGCAUCGUAUAUCAGGAUCGACUGGUGCGACACGAGGGCGCGGCCGCUCUCGCUGCACAGCACCGGGUGCGCCACGGCCUUCUGGUUGCACACGAGCCUCGCCGCCUGCACCACCGUCGACGCGUACUCCUCGAAGCCGUACGCCACCGACAUGUCCGACUCACCGGACCGCGUCCCGUCGUAGUCGAUCCCGAGCCCCCCGCCGACGUCCAGGGUGCCCAUCGGCGCCCCCAUCUGCACCAGGUUGCAGUAGUACCUGUUGUUCAAUGUAUAAAUAUUAUUAAAAAUGCUGCAAUAUAUAUAUAGUAGUUUACGCUUUUUGGAGAUCAACAUUAAUUGAUUUCACCAUACCCGGUAGCCUCGCGCACUGCGCUGCCGAUGAUGGAUGUGGUCGGGAUCUGCGACCCGAUAUGAAAGUGGAGUAGUUUGAGGCAAUCGAGCAUGUUAUUUUCUUUAAGCGUCUCUGCGACGGCGUAGAUUUGGUCCUCCAAGAGGCCGAACUUGCCGUGCUUGCCCGAGGUGGACCCAAAGUGGCCGGGGUUGGUGGUGAGCAGCCUCGCACGGAUGCCGAGCACGGGGCGGAUAUUGAGCUUCUUGCUCGCCGCCACCACCGUGUCGACCUCAUCCUCCAACUCGAGCACGAUGAUUGUGUUGAGAUCGAAGUUGCGUGACACGAGGGCGAGGGAGACGUAGUCCAUGUCCUUGUAGCCGUUGCACACCAGGUACGCCUUCGGGCUUCCGUUGAUAAGGCUGUUCAUGGCGAGAAGGAGCUCCGGCUUCGACCCGGCCUCCAGCCCGAAGUUGUAGUCCUUCCCUAAACUGAUCAGCUUGUCCACCACGUCCCUGUUCUGAUUUACCUGUUAAAUACAAAAUGUCAGACACAUACAACGUUCUUUUGCGCGCUAAUUUUUUAACGUAACCAGUCAUUUUGCUUGCAUCAUAUCAAUGCUGACCUCUUCUUACCUAAUAAUUAUUGAAAAAAACAAUAGUUGUUAAUUACUUCAUAAUUUAUUUACUUUUUUUAAUUUAAUGCAUGAACUGGAAAGUGUAUGAGGUCACUACUCUGAGACUCUCAGUUGUAUAUUACGGGAAACACCCCUUGAUAGUAGGAGGUGUAAGCGGUAUACUUAAUGGCGUUCGCGAAGGCCGUAUGGAGCGAGUCCAAACGGUGCUUGAGCACGNAAAAAAAAAAAAAAAAAAUCCGACCGAGCCAGUAAUUAAGCUCCUGAUCGAUUCAAACUUCUAAAAGUAAGCUACUAUAUAUUUCAAAUUGGUGCACCUUUACGGGAAACACCCCUUGAUAGUAGGAGGUGUAAGCGGUAUACUUAAUGGCGUUCGCGAAGGCCGUAUGGAGCGAGUCCAAACGGUGCUUGAGCACGUCGGGGAAGCGGAGAAUGAUCGGAAACUGGAGACCCCCCUCAGUCGCCUUCUUCACCGCAGCGAGGAGGUCAAUCGCCUCCUCAGAGGUGGUCUCAACGCCGUUAAUCAUAACGGAGAUGUUGCCGCUGGAGUUAACGACGAAGUAAGGUUCGCCCCAUCCCGCAAUAUUGUAGAGGUAACCAAAGUUGGUCGACAUUAUUAUCUCUCCUCCCUACACAAAGAGUU
RNAcentral lists this long non-coding RNA (57880 nucleotides) under Ananas comosus (pineapple). RNAcentral describes it as "long non-coding RNA (ACOM_LNC006154)". Lineage: Eukaryota; Viridiplantae; Streptophyta; Magnoliopsida; Poales; Bromeliaceae. The record is from RNAcentral.